RNAcentral lists this long non-coding RNA (73985 nucleotides) under Erythranthe guttata (spotted monkey flower). Its description in RNAcentral is "long non-coding RNA (EGUT_LNC003180)". Lineage: Eukaryota; Viridiplantae; Streptophyta; Magnoliopsida; Lamiales; Phrymaceae. The record is from RNAcentral.
UCUCUCUCUCUCUCUCUCUCUCUCUCUCUCUCUCUCUCUACUUGUGUGUGUUCUAAUGUCUGACAAAUUGUUUCAGUGCGUUCAUGGUUUGCUGUAACGAAAUUGAUUAUUUGCUUCCGUAAUUUAGUGAUUGUGUUCGUGUUUGUCAAGUAAAAAAACUGCAUCAUAGAGACAUUUUUGCUAAAAUUUAAAACAUGGGGAGUUUUUUAGCAAUUCGAUAUAACACAGGGGUACUAAAUGCAAUAAAAUUCUCUAUUUUUUAGGAUAAAAUACGAAAAUCCCUGAACUUAGGCUAAAUAACGAAAAACACCCCCACCUAUCCGUAAUUACCAAAAUCCCCAUCUGACUAACUGUCGACCGGGUAUUUUAAAAGAAAAUGUGUAUAGUAUGAUAUACCUUCUGUUAAAUAGGUAAGAAAUAAAAGAAAAUAUCCGAAAUUGUGUAAAGUCGAUUCCUUGAAAUAAAAAAGAUUUCAUGAAAAGUCACACUAACAUCAGGGGGUUUUGGUAAUUACGAAUAGGUAGAGGUGAUUUUCGUAAUUUAACCUAAGUUCAGGGUUUUUUUGUAAUUUACCCUUUUUUUAAUGGUACGCAGAAUUAUAAUGUGGAUGCUCAAAUGAAAUUAACUGCACACACAAUCUAAUGAAUAACUUAAUACUUAAUUCGGAUCGAUGUUUUGGCGUUUGAUUCAUCCGUUUAAUGAAUUCCGAUAGUUUAUGCAAUAGAAUUUCUCAUUUACGAACUUUAUCAAAGGAUUUAUUUAUGUGGUUAUAGCGUAUAUUCUUGAUAUACAGGAUCAAAGGGAAGUAGUAUUGCCACCUGCCGCAGAGGCGGCAGCCAAUGAGACUACAGCAUCUGCUACAAUCCACGGUAUCGAAAUUGCAGUUGACUUUAAACCGGUCGAACGGCCGAGUGAGCCACUUGACAACGACCAACCAAUCCUGUGUCCACUUCCAGAACCUUCUAUUCUUAACGUAAAUAACGUUUAUCCUUUUAAUCGCAUUGUGUGUCUUAAGCCAUAUAAUCCAAAGUCCGUUUUGACUCGAGAUUAAAAUGUGCUAACUUUGUCACCUUUAAUGGGGAAAAUAUACUUUUCAUCCCUCAACUUUGCACUGAUUUCACAUUUGGUCCCUCAUGUUUAGAAAAAACAUAUUUGGUCCCUCAUAUUUCAAAAAUUCAACACUUUUAAGUCAUUUCCGUCAAUUUUCCGUUAUUACUAAGAGAAUCAAGUGUGUGCCAGUCACUGCGAGUUAGUAAAAUGACGGAAAUGACCAUAAGUGUUAAAUUAUUGAAACAUGAGAGGGACCGAAUGUGUGUUUUGUGAACAUGGGACACCAAAUGUGAAAUUGGUGCAAACUUGAGGGAUGAAAAGUGUAAUUUUCCCCACCUUUAAUAUUUGUUUGAUGAAAUAUUAGGAUGGACGAAUAUGGAAGGAGAGAGUGUCGUCCGGAGCGCAGAGACUAGCUGAUGUGGCGGUGACAUCAUCGGUGGGGCCCGAUGGUACUGCUUCGAGGAAAAGUAGGCCUCCUUCUAACCGCGUUAUUCUGCCAUCUGUCAGUGCACCGGAGCGUAAUAUACUCAAACUGCUCGAUGAGUGUAAUGCUUCUGGUAUUUAACAAACUUACCGAAACUGAUUAAUAUAGAUUUUUUUUUUCUUUUCUUUUUUGCUCUAUGAAUAAAAGGCUUGAAAACAUUGUUCUGUUAAUCUGUGUUUAUAUGUUCAUCUCAAAAUUCAGCAUAGAUUAAUUUUAGUCUUUAAUGAACGAACUCGAAUCGAAUACCGAGUAGUUUGAUUUGAUUUGCAACUGUAGCCUUAAACUUUGCAGAGCAUUUUCUUAUAAUUUUGAAGAGUCUUUGCCCCACUUACUUUGGUCGUUUUUGCCCUUUGCCUCCCAAACCAAAAAAAAUUGCACUAUUCAUACCUGAGCUUACUAAUUUGUUGCACCGACAACUAAAAAGUCUAUUUUUGACAAAAAAACUACCGGAAUUGCACCUGUGCAACUCACACGUGAGAAUGGAUGGGCAAAUUCGCCAAUUCACAAGGUUUUUAGUAAAAAGAAAAAAAAAAAGAAGAAAGAAAAAGAAGAAAGAAAAAAGAAAAGGGAUCGCGUCUAAAGUAGAAGCGGACACACCAAAGACGUCGCCCACCUUGGACGCGAAUACAAUGUACUGCGCGCCCAACAUGUGCGCGCUGUUUGCUGCGUUUGCUGUGUUUGCUUCCAGGCUGUCCGCCCUCUGCGUAAAGUUGGCGAAUUGUUUGACAAAAAUAAAUUAAAAUCUUACCUUGAUUUGUUGAGAGAGAAUAUUCGAUGUUUGGUUAAUUCACGAAACAUUAUUUUUCAUUUAUCAAUCGUGCUUCAGUAGAUCAUCUUUUUAUUCAGACAAAACAAAUUUAGUAUUUAAUGAUACCUAAUCAUUUGACUUACCAGCCUUGUACAAUAAUUUAUGUCCAACAUGCAAUAUUCUUAAAUAAGAACCAACCUAUACAUACUAUUCCCUUGAAUUUGUUGGCAAUUUCUCUUAUAAUUUACAUGCUCUGCAUAGCUCUACCUUCUCAUCAAACCUACUUUCUCAUAUUCCAUAAGAAAGAAAAAAAGAAAAAAAAAAGUCAAAGUUGUUCUGCAUUUCAAUCAGUUGAGAAAUGGCAGAGGCGUUGGUUCAAGUAGUUCUUGAAAUCUGAGCUCACUGAUCCAAGAUGAGUUUGGAUUGAUUACGGGUGUCGGUGAUGAGAUGAAGAAGCUCUCGAGCACACUCACCACCAUUCAAUCCGUGCUCGAAGAUGCCGAGACGAAGCAACUUCAAAGCAGAGCCAUUCAGAAUUGGCUACUCAAGCUCCAUGACCUUAUCUACGAGAUUGACGACGUAUUGGAUGAGUGUGCUACACAAUUCUCUAUAUCGAAGCACAGAAACAGCAAAUUAAAUCGCUAUAGCUUGAAGACAAUUCUCUUCCGGCGCAAAAUCGGGACAAGGAUGAAGCAGGUCACGGAGAAACUGGAUGCGGUUGCUGCAGAGCGUUCGAAGUUCCAUUUGCGCGAGAUGUCUGUCGACAGGCCGAUCGAGUUUGCUGCCACACGUGAGACUGGUUCGAUAUUGAAUGUGUCUCGUGUUGUUUACGGCAGGGAAGAAGAUGCCGAGAAGAUUGUUGGCAUCUUGGUCAACCAGGUCAACGGCAAUGAAGAAGUCUCGGUUCUUCCUAUAGUUGGUGUUGGAGGCCUUGGAAAGACCACACUUGCUCAAUUAGUCUUCAAAGAUCAACGCGUCGUUGACCAUUUCGAUAAAAGAAUAUGGGUUUGUGUCUCCGACAAUUUUGAUCAGAAGAGGUUGUUGAAGGCGAUGAUUGAAUCUGUUGAAGAAGAUGACCCGGAGAAAAACACGAGAAACACAGAUUUGGUGGAAAUGCAUACCCUACAGCACCGCCUCUUGAAAUUACUCAACAACAAAAAAUACUUGCUUGUAUUGGAUGACGUUUGGAACGAGGAUCCAGGCGAGUGGGAUAAAUUGAAAAACGUUGUGGCAUGUGGCUCAACCGGGAGUUCAAUUAUCGUUACCACACGCCUCCAAAAGAUUGCUGAUAUGAUGAUAACACGUUCCGUUGUUUCAGCACAUGACUUGAUGGGGUUGUCGGAAGAGAAUUGCUGGAUGUUGAUGCGUGAACAAGCAUUCGGAGAGACGGAAGAUGAAUAUCCAAACCUGGAAGCCAUCGGGAAGCAGAUUGCGAACAAGUGUGCCGGUGUUCCUCUGGCUGCUAAGACGCUCGGAGGUGUGUUGCGGUUGAUGAGGACAGAGAAAGAGUGGAAUUAUGUGAAAGAAAGUGAAAUAUGGGAAUUGCCUCAGACAGAAACUUCGAUACUGCCAGCUUUGAAACUGAGUUACCAUCAUCUCACUUUUGAAUUGAGACGGUGCUUCGCUUAUUGUGCAAUCUUUCCCAAGGAUUCUAAGAUUUCGAAAAAAGAACUGAUCUUUAUGUGGAUGGCGCAUGGAUAUAUUUCAUCAAAGCGUGUACUUGAAAUGGAGGAUGUCGGCAAUCAAAUAUGCGAUGAGCUAGUUCGGAGAUCCCUUUUGCAGUAUGUUAUACAUCCUGAUACAAACGAACCAACUCUCGUUAUGCACGAUCUUAUUCACGAUCUCGCCCAAUCAAUCAUGGAGAGCAAAAUUCCUGGAACACAAGCCCAAAGCACAAACUUCAGUAGUGCAUCGUCUACCAGCAAAAUCCGCCAGGUGAAUUUGCGGGAAAAGUCCGUUGCCUUCCCUAAGAGUAAUCAACCAGAGAUGGACAUUUCUUUCAUCUUAAAGAAUUUCUCUUGUUUGAGAGUACUCGAUGCGGGUAUGACAGGGAUACAAAGUUUGCCUUCUACAAUACGCGAGCUCAAGCACGUUCGACACUUGAAUUUGUCCGGAACUAAAAUCCGCACACUGCCCGAGUCAUUGUGCGGUCUGUGGAAUUUGCAAGUUUUGAAUUUGGACGACUGCCAAGAGCUCGUGGCUUUGCCGAAGAAGUUGAGGUACCUGAUCAAUCUCCGCCAUCUAUUUUUGGUAAAAUGCUACUCGCUGAAGGAGACGCCUUCUAGAAUCGGAGAACUUAAACGACUCAAAUCACUGGGUCAGUUCAUUGUGGGGCAUCGCAAAGGCUAUCACCUCGAGGAGUUGCAACACUUGGACAUUGGGGGCAGGAUUACAAUUCGCCAUCUGGAGCGAGUCGAGAACCCUAUGGAUGCAAAGAAGGCAAAUCUUGCCGAGAAAAAGAACCUCGUUCAUUUGAAGUUGUUCUGGAAAACUGACCGUACUCCGUCAAAAUCAUCGGAGGAAGAAGCGAGAGAUGAAAAUGUGUUGGAAGGGCUCGAACCUCACCCGAAUCUCGAAAUUUUAGAGAUAAAAGGAUUCUGGGGAAGCCAUUUUCCAGCGUGGAUGUCGAAUUCAACCGUGGACAAGGUAGUCAAAAUUGACAUAUCGUUUUGUCAAAACUGCUUGCGCCUUCCUCAACUCGGAAAGCUACCUCACCUUAAAUCAUUGAGGUUAGAGGAUCUGGCGGCGGUGGAGUACAUUAGCGAGGAAAAUCAACCACCUCACAGUGGAUUAAUAAGCCUGGUACAUUUCCCAUCUCUGGAAACACUUGAAUUGUCGUGUCUCCCGAAUCUCAAAGGGUUGUUGAGAGAGGAGCAAGUGACGAGACCGGUCGAAGCAUUCCCAAAUCUUCAAAGGCUAACGAUCGAUAAAUGCUCUUCGUUUAAACUGCCACCACUCAAGAAAUUGGAGAGAUUGGAUUGCAGUAGCUCAACUCUGGCUUCACUGUCCAAGACGGUCCUCAAAACUCUCACUCAUCUUUGCGUGGACUUUGAGGAGAAUACGACGACAUGCAAUAUCUCGAUAGAGACGUUUGCAAACCUCGGCAAUCUCAAGGAACUAAGAGUUUCUAAAGCGCGUGAUACGUCUCUUCUGCCAGAACAAGGUAUGCGGUCGUUGAAAUGUCUUUCGCGUUUAUGGAUAAGUGAAUGUGAGACGGUGACGUGUCUGCCUGAGGAAUGGCUGCCGCACCUCACCGCUCUGGAGCAGCUAGUGAUAUUUAAAUGCCGAGAACUGGUAGAGAUUCCAGUGGGGAUUAAAUGUGUUAAAGAACUCAGGCUCAUUGAUCUCGCAAAGAUGGCGUGUUUGCCCGAAGCACUGCAAAACCUCUCCUCCUCACUGAAGACGCUAUUCAUUCUCGGGCUUCCGGAGCUGAGUUCACUGCCCGAGUGGUUGGACAAGUUGACAUCACUUCAAAUUCUGUAUAUUGCUGAGUGCCCGAAGAUAGAUUCAUUUCCGGCUAGUAUACGACGAAUGAAAAAUCUUCGGUUAUUGAGCGUGGAGAAAUGCCCCGAACUGGAAAGGCGGUGUUUGAAGGGAAAGGGAGAGGAUUGGGACAAGAUACAACAUAUUCCCAGGCUGGAUAUUGGUUAAUGGUGCUGUUUCAAAAUGUAAGUUUGGCAAUAGAAGUAAACUUGUAAUUCUUAGUUGUUUCUACAAUUUGAAUCAUUUUGUUAUUCAAAUAAAAUAUUCAGUAUUCUGUACAAGCUAAUGUUGAAAAACCUUCAACCAACCACAAAUGGUGAAUGAUAAUAUCAAGUUCACCAAAAAUUAAGAGGGUGUUUUGGCUAAGAAUAGCGUAUCGGAUGUUAAUAAGAGCUUAUAAGCUCUUUCAAAGUGUUUGAUAAUUUAAAGGUAGCAUCACUUCCAGCUAGUAUCCAGAGAAUGACAAAGCUCGAAUAUCUGAAAGUGCGUGGAUGCCCGGAAUUGGAAAGGAGAUGUGAGAGAGAAAAGGGAGAGGACUGGCACAAGAUAGCACAUAUUCCCCACCUCUACAUUGGUAUCGGGGUUCGCUAAUUGGCAGCUGCAGGGCUUCUCCUUCUUUGGUAUGUAGCUCCAUUAAAUCUCUUUCCUUUUAUCAUGCUUACAAAUUUAGUAUUUCUGCAACUAUUUUUUGUUCUCUGAUAAAUUGGUUAGCUUUGACACAUCCUUUACUCUUCUUUUUUGUCUCUGUCUUUUAACCAACAGGCACGCCAUAUUCGAUUCGAUUCAGGGGUAGGUGUUUUCCGGUUUGGAUGUCAAAUUCAACUAUGAAGAAAGUAGUUCGAAUUGAUAUAUGAUUCUGUGAGAGUUUUAUGCAUCUUCCGCAACUGGGAGAGCUACCUCAUCUUAAAACCUUGAGUGUGAAGAAUCUGGCUCGGGUGGAGUACAUUAUUGAGAUUGAGGAAGAAGUAGUUCAAAGUGCAAAUACAUUAAUAAGCGUACAACAGUUCCCAUCUCUGGAAAGCUUGUACUUAUGUGGGCUUCCGAAUUUCAAAGGGUUGUUUUUUAAGAGCAAGUGAUGAGAUCAGCUGAAGCAUUCCCAAAUCUCGAGAAGCUAGAUAUUGGAUGGUUCUCAUCAUUAGCACUACCACCACUCUCAACAUCUCUCAAAAAGUUGAAAAAAUUGAAAUGCGGCAGCUUAAAUCUGGCUUCAUUGUCGUCUAAGCUGGAAACUCUUACUGAUCUGACCGUGCACUUCACAAAUACGUGCAAAUGUAUUACAGUUGAGACACUUGAAAGCCUCGCCAAUCUCAAGAAAUUGGAGAUUUGGGAAGCAGAUGAGCGGUCUCUGCCGGAAGAAGGGAUGCGAGCCUUGAAAUCUCUUACAAGUUUGUCCGUAAAUUAUUGUCGGAAACUGAUGGGGGGUUUGCCUCAAGGGUGGCUGCGACACCUCACUGCUCUGGAGGAACUAGACAUAUUUCAAUGCGACGGAGUUGUUGAGCUGCCAGAUGAGGUUAGAUACCUCAAAUUCCUUGCAAAAGUCGAGCUCAAAAGUCUUCCAAAGAUGGUGUAUCUACUCAAGGCAUUGCAACACCUCUCAUCCUCACUCCAGUGUUUGUUCCUAUCCACUCUUUGUGAGCAGAGUUCACUGCCGGAAUGGUUGGGAGAUUUCACGUCUCUUGAAGAGUUGACUAUUUCAGAGUGCCCAAAGGUAACAUCACUUCCAACUAGAAUCCGGGGAAUGACAAAUCUCCAAUUCAUGUUAGUGAUGGAAUGCCCGGAAUUGGAGAGGAGAUGUGAGAGAGAAAUUGGGGAGGAUUGGCACAACAUACAACACAUUCCGCACCUGUACAAUUUUUUUUAAUAAUAAAAGAACUUCAAUAUUCAAGAGGAAUAAUAGUCUACAAACGUGCCCCAAAGUCACAAAAAGAAGAAAAAGGAAUAACAUUCGCAGAAACAAAACCAUUCCAAUCGGACUCGAAGGCUCGUUUAACAAGAUUGUGGGUAGAUUUUUCCAAUAUUUUUUUGGAUCAAAAUUGGAAUAUACAAGAAUUUGUUCACCCAUCGCACUUUGAUUUCCGAAAGUAAAUUAAUUAAUUUCAAAUGUUCCUGAAAAUUGCUGUUAUAAUAUCAAUAUUAUUAUGUAUUUUAUAUUAUAGGGGCAUAAUAAAAAUAGGAUUCCGAUUCUGGUCUGAAAUUUUUUGAAUUUGGAACAUUUUUUUUCAUUCUAAUUUUCAAAAUUCUAAACAUACAUAAAAAAAAAAUGUGGUUUUUUUUUGCAAGAACUACCCCUAUAUAAUCUCUAAUUGCCAAAAAACCCUUGUGUUACAAAAAUUAGCCAUGCCACCAUAUGAAAAUUAGCCAAAGGCAAAACAAAAUCCUCUGACAGCGUUUCGUGUGGUGCGAUCGCGGAAUGUGCGGCUAGAGGUGUGUUUCUUACAUGAAAAGUCAAAAAUACCUUUAAAAUUCAGAAUUUUGAAAAUUACAAAUUCGUCCUGAAAUUUUAUAAGCCCCUAAAUGAAAUUUUCAAAAUUUUUAGGUCAGUCCUUUUCAUUUCUAUAAAACCCUCUUCUUCAAAUCUUGCUCCACAUUGUUAGUUUGUUACUGUAUGCCAUCUUCAUUAUACUACUCUAAAAAUAAUAUUUUUUAUAUAAAAUAAACGGUUUCAUUAUAAAUAUAUAUUUUUGCAUAUAUAAUUAAUUACUAAAUUAAACCAAAUCAAACCAAAUUAAGUAUAGUAUAUACGCCUCUGUACCUUAACAUUUCCAGCUUCAUUAAUGGCGUCAAGUCGUCAACAAGCUUAAGCUGCAGCAACAAAUUGUGGCUCCUGAAAUGCACGUCGGAGAUUGCGUAGAUCACCACAUCAACUUUCUUCACUGCUUCCAACCAAGCUCCGGUGAUCGGAAAAUGAACCCUCGACCAGCUCCGGCCCUUGCCGCUUGAAUUCCAUCAGAACCUGCAACUUGUUGCUGUCCAACCCUAUCUCCGGCCGCCGGAGAAUGAGUUUAUGUUACUCAAUGUUUACGUACACAUGACUACAUUAUUUGGACAACCACCCCUCAGUUAAUGAGGUAAUGUCAAAUUACGAAAAAACCCCUCAUGUUUGAUAAUUACAACCACCUCCCUCAUCUAUUAAUCUUUUUACACGCCUAUCCUAAUAGUGUCAAACCCAACAAAAUCUUCUAAAUUAUGUGGAAUGUUGUCUAGUUUGUACUCGUUUUGUACAAAAAUGCAGUUUCUGAUAUACCACAAUCUGAUAUUUACAAGCUAAGAGACACAGUUUAUGAUCAUCUUGUUUCAAAAUGUGUAGCUCGAAUGAGGUAAUUAAACAUGUACAAACUGGAGAAUAUUCACACAUAAUCUAGAAGAUUCUACUAAAUUUGACUCCGUAAGGAUGGAAGUGUAAGAAGAUUGAUAGUUGAUGGAGAGGUUGUAAAUUUAUAAUUACCAAAAUAUAAGGAUUUUUUCAUAAUUUAACCUUACUUUAGGGGUGACCUUAAUUUAUCCAAAAUUAAAUGCAAAUGAAAAUUAUGGCAUAAAUCUAUAUCUAUACUACUUAUAAAAGGAGGAAUCCUAUGGUGGUUUCUUCCAUUUUUUGAAGAGACAAAAAUACCCUUUGGCAAGUUCAAACCUUUAAGGCCAAUUGAGUAAUAUAAACUGAUUGUUAAUUAUUAUAAAUUAAUAUUAUCUUAUGACAUUAAAUAAGUAUAUCAUUAACUAUUGCCAAAUAUAGUAUGGACAAGUUUAAAUUAUUAAUGUCAAUUUAUAUAAAAAAAAUCUAGAUGCACGGACAAUAGAAUUAAGGAAAAAAAUAAUACCAACAUAACUGUUUAAAAUUAGUUUUAAUUAUCUUUACAUAUAUCGUUAUCUAAAACGUAAUUAAAAAAACUCUUUAUUUAAUUAAUUAGUAUCAAAUUUCUUCAGUUGAAGAAUUUUUAUCACUCUCCGAAUGUUGAAUAUCUAUGUUUACUAAUAAAAAAAAUAGUUUAUAAAAUUCAUAAUUUUAUCUAUGCCAAUCAGUAAUUACUAUAAUAUGUAAGAUUAGAAGUACGAGUAAUAUAAAUAAAUAAAUAAUUAGUUUAAUUUAUUUAUAAAAAUAAAUUGUAAUCUGAAUGAAUAAAUUUUCUAUAAUUCAGGAAUACUCAAUAUUGAUAAGGAAAAACUGUUUGAUUCCUAAUGAUUGUUCAACUAAUUCAUAAUGUAUUUAUUAAUAUUUAAUUAAUUGCAACUUUAUUGACUUGAGAAUUUGUAUAGUCUCAAGUCUUGACUAUACAUUCAUUAUACCCCAAACAAUUUUUGUUUAAAUAAAACGGCAUUAAAGAUAAAUUACAUAUAUUUUUUUAAUUUGUUUCAUGCUCUAGACAUACCAAAAAUAAGGUCACGCCAUGAUCCACCACGGCCACCACCAUCUACAACCAUAAAAAAUGUGGAGAAUCAGACAGGAACCAUCGGUGGCUACAUAGCAUCUUACAUCGAUUUUCAAGAGAUAGCUCUUCGCAUUUUGCGGUUUCAGUGCCAACAAUGCCGAUAUGCACGGUGACGGGAAUGACUUUAAUAAAUUUCUAAUAAUAUUUCAAUUUUAAACAAAUAAAAUUUAAAAAUUAUAUAUUAAAUAUAAAUAAAUUAUAAAAAUAUUUCUUAUUCGUCAAUAGUAACACCAUAUGGGGCAUGUGUAAGACGACAACAUACCUGACAUUAACUCGAAGGGUUUCUCGUAAUUUGUCAUUUAUUGUUUUUCAAAUAACAAAAGGGUAGAACAAACAAGAUACAUUUUAUGUGAAUUUAAACGGUCAAACGCUGGUCAGAAGAGGAUUUUGUAACUACACAAACAUGAGGGGAAUUUUUUUUAAUUAGGCUUUAUCUCAUGGGGGUUUUCAUAAUUUCCGCUAAUUAUUAUAUAGAAUACACGCAAAAUAAAACUUAUAUAUUAAUUUUUUUUUUAUUUUACCUCUUUUAUGUUGGCUUCUAUUUGUUAUAUAUUCAUUUCUUAGGUGACUGGUUUGACUUCAAAUUUUCUAGACCACGUAAGUAUUUGUUGACAACAACAAAUAUAAUAACCCUCAGGCUAGACUCAAAUUGUAAAUUUUGAGGCAAGUUCUCGAGAUUACAAAAAAAAAAUUGAAGAAAGUUUGUACAAAAAUUAAUCACGUCAGUGAAAAACAUUACUACAAUGAUAUUGAUGACCCACAAAAAAAUAUUAUUUCACUCAGUCGAAAUUUAGCAAGAAAAAAAAUGAAAAGGAAAAAAAAGGUUCGGGGAAAUGGAUCAAUAAAAUCAAUGUUAUUCUUGCAAACUUUUGAGAAUUUUUCUUGCUUACUAUGUGAAUGAGAAGUCUUCUUAACCUAUAAAUCAGGAAAAUCAGUGUAUUUGACUAUAUUUCUAUUCCAUGUCCACAUUAUUUCGGUGGAGUAGUUGAACAACCAAUUUUGUUUCAUAUCUUUAAAAAAAAUUCAACUCAGUCCCCAAAUUGUAAGGUUAUUGUUAAAAUAAGGAGAUAUAUUCAACUUACACUUUCACCCCUCAAUUGCGAUUUUCUUCAUCGUUUUACCAUUCCGCAAUUUCAAGGGAUUUUUAGGUAUUGUUGCAAAAUUAUUGUGAUGUAAUUUUGGAGUUCGCUUCAAGAUUUGAAAACAAAAAUUAAGAUACGGAAAAUAAAAAAUAAUUAAUUGAAUCAUGAAUACAAAUAUAAAUAGAAAUUAUAUGAAUCUAAACAUUUUAUAUGAUAACAUUAAAAGUUAAACUAUAAAUACCUUAACUUUUAACGGUCAAUAAAUUCUAUUUUCAAAAAGAAAAAUAAUGACAAUAAUAAUCUAUCUAUCCAAGAAAAUAUGAUAAUGUUCCAAGAAGAAGUUGCAAGAAAAAACUAAUACAUAUAAGAAGAAAUGGGUAAACAACAUUUUCCAAUGAUAAUCAAUGUGAAAACAAUUCAAGAUGAAAGAAAAAAAAACAUACUAAAUGGAAUAUUGAACACAAAUAUAAGUAGAAAUUAUGAAUCUAUACAUAUUGUAAUAUUAGACAAAGUUUGACUAAUGAAUAAUAUCAAUAUACUCCAAAUAACCUCGAUAUUUUAAUUUGUAUUAUUAUUUUGAUCGAAUAAUAUGCCCAAAAAAAACCCAAUUAAAUUAACACAAGACGUGCAACGCACGUCCAGUGGCGUAUCUAGUGUAGUCCUAGGGUGUGCAACUGCACACCCUUGAUUUUGAAAAAAAAAUAUUCCCUAUAUAUUUAUAUAUUAUGUAACUGUAAAUGUAAAAUUUGCUGAAUAGGUGUUGUAGCUGAACUGGUAAAGUUCUACCUACAAAUUCUAAGAGGUGCAGAGUUCGAGACUUUGAAAACCACCUCUAUUUUGUAUUUUCAAAGUUUUUUAUUUUGCUAUUUGCAACUUUAAUUUCCAUUCCUAUAUAUAUAUAUAUAUAUAUAUAUAUAUAUAUAUAUAUAUAUAUAUAUAUAUAUAUAUAUAAUAUAAAAAGAGGAUCUUUGCCCUCAAUGAUUGACAUGUGGCAAAUGAUGAUGUCAUUUGUCAAAAUUGCUUAGUUGGAGUUCAAUUGAUGAGGUGGAUUCUUCAAUUGAUUAGGUGGCAUUUUUAUUUAUGGAUGUUUUUAAAUUUUUUCCUAUUUUACAUUUACACAAUCAUUAAAUAAUUACCAAAUGUAUAUAUAUUAUUUCCAAAGUUAAUAUUUUAUAAAUUCGAAAUAAAAAAAAUCUUAUUUAUAUUUUCAGUAUUUCAAAAUAUAUUUAUUGAAAAAAUUCAUGAAACUCAAUUUUUUUACAAAUAUUCAAAUAAUUUUCAUAAAAAAAUAUUUUUUUAAAUACUAAUAUUAAAAUAAAGGAAUAUGUUGUUGUUGUUGUUUUUUUUUUUAAUUUUUUUUAAUAUUUUAGAAUAUUCGAAUAUCCAUUCCAUUAAAAAUAAUAAUAAUAAAAUGUUUUAUUUGUUAAUUGAACUAUUUAAUAAAUAUACAAUAUUUUUUGUAUAUAAUUUUUAUUAUACCAUAUUUCAAAUUAAAAAUAAUUAUACUAUUUAAUAAAUAUGCAAUAUUUUGAAAUUUGAAAAUUUAAUAAUUUAAAUGCAGUAUAUUUUAACAAUUUAAAGCAUAUUUGUUGUUUUCUAAUUUUUUUGUGAUCUCCAGCCCGCAAUUGUUAGGACAAGAAAUUGUUUUCUAAAUGCAGUAGUUUUAAAGUAUAUUUCGAAAACACUAUUUAUUAUAUAAUAUGUUUCGAACUAUAAACCGGAUUAUGCAUUAUAUUUGUCAAUUACUAUUUCAAAUAAAUUAUCAAAUCACCAAUACAAAGGAAUCUUUAAUAUUCCAAGAUUCCUUCAUAUAAUCUUUGAUUGAUUUAAUUUACACUUUAAUUCAAAAUUGAAUGGUAAAAAAUAAAAAUCGUAUCUUCAUAUUUAAUGUUUUUAUAUUGCAAGAUUUUUUUCCACAAGUUAUUAUUUUAUUUUUUUGGGUUGUUUCCUUUAUUUGUUUGAUUUGAUUUGAUUUACUAAUAUAUAAAUCUUUUGAAUUUUUAAUUUUUCCAUAGAAUUAAGUUGAUUUUCAAUACUAUAUAAACCCCUCAAUGUUCAUUUCAUUUUUAUCUACCACCAUUCGAUUACAAAGUGCACAAUGUUCGUAUUAUACAGUUUCAUAUUACAUUUUUUUUUUAUUUUUUUUUAUAUAUACAUAUUAGUACUAUUUGUAUUUCUUUCUUUUGGGUUUUAAUUUUAAUAUACUUUUUAAUUGUUUUCAUGCAGUUUAUUAAAUAAAGUCGUUCGUACUUUAUGAAGAUCAAAAAAAUUGUUUGCGCUCAUUUCAAACAAUGUGUUCUUUGCAACGCGUAUUUUGAUCAUAAUUUCGAUCCAUGUAUGUGUGUCUCAUGUAGGGAAUCAAUCAAAGUCGUUCCACGCUCUGGAUCUUGCAUUGUAUGUUCCUUGAAAAUAUAGUAUUUUUAUAAUUAAAAAUUUACAUUAACAUCAUUCCAUGUAUUUUGAUAUCAUAUUAAUUUUCAUUUAUUUUAAUUCUUGCAAAUAUAGUACAUUUAUAGACUUAAAUGUUUAAACCGAAUUGAAAAAUUUAAUUUUUAUAUAUUACGAAAUUUAUAUUUUUAUUAUUAAAAUACAAAAACAAAUGUAUGUAUAUUUCAUAUAUUUUGAAUUUUUUCUAAAAUUUGGAUAUGCAUUUAUUAUAUAAAUCAUUUCUCUAUAAUAUGUAUAUUAUAUACCAUAAUAUCAUAAGUUUUUAUCAUUUCAAUAUAUGAUAAUAUCAUAACAAGUUGAGUUUAUUGCGAGAUUUUUUGAUAAUAUAUACGAAUUGCUUAAUAUAAACUAUGCAUGGUUUUCAUAUUUUGCAUGAUAUCUAUUAGUAUGUCUGAGUCAUUUCCAUAUUUUAUAAUAUAUAUAUUGUACACGUUUCUUUCAUUUAAUGUUUCAUGAAUUAUUUAAUUAAUAAAACUAAUUUCUUUUAUUCUAAUUUGUUUUUUAAUUUCUGAUCUAAUUAGUUCUAUUAAUAUUUUUUCAAGUCUUCCAAUAUUUUAGAAUGAAAAUAAUUUGUGUAAUAAAUUAAAAUCACGUAAAAAUUCAAAAUCGGAAAGUAAAUUAGAAAUUUGAAAUUGCAUAUUAAAAUUAAUAUCAUCUAAUAAUUAUUGUAAUGCAAUAAUUAUUCAAAUAUACAUACUAUUAAUUUUCUUUUAUUUAGUUUCUGAUAAAAUUAGUUCUACUACUAUCUUAUGCAUUUUUAUAUUUUAAUGUAACAAAUUAAUCAAUUAUCCGGAUUUCAAAUUUUAUAAAAUUUGAAUAUUUAAGUUUUCCUUUUAAUAUGUUGCCAACAUACUCUCCCAAUUAAUUUAGACUUUGAAUGAUUACUUAUUUAUGAUGAUUUCUUUUAGUUAUCCAAUUUGGGUAACUUUUUUUUUUCAAUCAAUGGCAUAUGAGGCAUGUGUAUAUUCAUUUAUGGUAUCCGAUUUUGAUUUGAGUUGAGUUUUGGAACCAAUAUGGUAUAUGUAUAUUCAGUUAUGUAUUGUAUUUAAUGAUUUUGUUAAUAUUCCAUUACUAAAAUCCAAAAUGUGAGGACUUUUGAUCAUAUUUUUUUAUUAUUUUUUCGUUUCACUUUUAUUGCCGCCCAUAACCAAUUAAUUUGAAAUUUGAAUUCAUAAAAUUUCCUAAACGAUAUAUCAUAAUUAGGGGUGCAAGUUGGAACGGAAAUUCCGAUUUCCGCCGGUUCCGAUCCGAAAAGUUCCGAUUUUGGAACAACUUUUUUCAUUCCGAUUUCCGAAAUUCCGAUUUCCGAUUUUUUCCGAUUUUUUUGGAUUGGAAUUGGAAUUAUAUAAAAAAAAAUUGGAAUUUCCGAUUUCCGAUCCGAUUAUUUCCGAAAUUAAUUCCGAAAAAAUUCCGAUUUUUUUCCGAAAAAAAACCGAUUUUUUUUCCAAAAAAUACAUCUCUUAUAUAUAUAUAUACNNNNNNNNNNNNNNNNNNNNNNNNNNNNNNNNNNNNNNNNNNNNNNNNNNNNNNNNNNNNNNNNNNNNNNNNNNNNNNNNNNNNNNNNNNNNNNNNNNNNNNNNNNNNNNNNNNNNNNNNNNNNNNNNNNNNNNNNNNNNNNNNNNNNNNNNNNNNNNNNNNNNNNNNNNNNNNNNNNNNNNNNNNNNNNNNNNNNNNNNNNNNNNNNNNNNNNNNNNNNNNNNNNNNNNNNNNNNNNNNNNNNNNNNNNNNNNNNNNNNNNNNNNNNNNNNNNNNNNNNNNNNNNNNNNNNNNNNNNNNNNNNNNNNNNNNNNNNNNNNNNNNNNNNNNNNNNNNNNNNNNNNNNNNNNNNNNNNNNNNNNNNNNNNNNNNNNNNNNNNNNNNNNNNNNNNNNNNNNNNNNNNNNNNNNNNNNNNNNNNNNNNNNNNNNNNNNNNNNNNNNNNNNNNNNNNNNNNNNNNNNNNNNNNNNNNNNNNNNNNNNNNNNNNNNNNNNNNNNNNNNNNNNNNNNNNNNNNNNNNNNNNNNNNNNNNNNNNNNNNNNNNNNNNNNNNNNNNNNNNNNNNNNNNNNNNNNNNNNNNNNNNNNNNNNNNNNNNNNNNNNNNNNNNNNNNNNNNNNNNNNNNNNNNNNNNNNNNNNNNNNNNNNNNNNNNNNNNNNNNNNNNNNNNNNNNNNNNNNNNNNNNNNNNNNNNNNNNNNNNNNNNNNNNNNNNNNNNNNNNNNNNNNNNNNNNNNNNNNNNNNNNNNNNNNNNNNNNNNNNNNNNNNNNNNNNNNNNNNNNNNNNNNNNNNNNNNNNNNNNNNNNNNNNNNNNNNNNNNNNNNNNNNNNNNNNNNNNNNNNNNNNNNNNNNNNNNNNNNNNNNNNNNNNNNNNNNNNNNNNNNNNNNNNNNNNNNNNNNNNNNNNNNNNAUUCUGAGCUGUUUAGCUCGUGAAAUUAUUUUAAUAUGUCCUCUCAAUCUUAUAUAUUUAUUUGAACUUAUGAAUAUCAAGUUUUAAUUAGUUGACUUGAUAAAUUAUAUAAAUACGCAAAAAAAAAAAAAAAUCAUUGAUUAUAAUUAGAAGUGUUUUAAUCUUGCCUUCAUGAUCCGAAUAGCAUAAUGUGUUUUGGUAUAAAUAAAAACCGCAUGAGUUUAUUUAAUAAGCUAAUUUUUCAAAUAAGCAUGUGACAUCAUCAAACAACAAUCAAUACCUUUUGUAUUACUCUUCUCAUAAAAGUGAAAGAAAUGCUAAAUAUAAAAUAGCGUGUUAUAUUCAUAUUAUAAGAAAGGAAAUUAGAUUAAUUGAGAUUUUAAAUAUUAUAACUUUUUUGAUAAAUGAUAUUUUAUUAUAAAAUUAUUGUAGGCAUAAUAAAUAAUGAAUUGCAAUACAAUGCUACGUUCGAGAAAUUUAAUUUGCAUAUAACCAAAAAGGACAAUAGGCAUGAUUUAUUUUAUACUAAUCUAUAUAAAAUAUUUUAAAAAAAUUAUUGCCUUAACGAAUGACAUGUGUCAAGAUGCUUAUGUCAAACUUUGAAAUCGCUUAGUUGAACUAAAUUGCUUAUGCAUUUUCGUCAAUUGAUUAUUUGUCAGCUUUUAUUUUUGUAUAAUUAAAUUGUUUCCUACUUAACUUUUGUAUAUACAUAUUCUUUUAUGAAUUUUAUAUUUUAUAAAUUCAAAAAAUAUUAUCUAAUUUAAUUUAAUGUUCCGAGAAACGUAAUUUUUAAUGUCUUUUUUUUUGUAUUAUUUUUUUAAUUUAAAUAUUUACGUUAAUAAAAUUUUAACUGAGACAUACAUUUGAAUCAUUUAUGUCCAAUUAUAUAACAAUAUAUAUUUUUAGGUAAAAUUUAUACUCCUUCCAUUCAGAGUUUAUGCUUUUAGGAAAAUCGAUUUGCUAUUGCCGCCCAAUUGAAAUUUUUGAAUUUUGAAAUCUUAUAUUUUCUACCAUUUACAUGUACUACAUGCACACUUUAUGGUAGUCCGUAAGUAUUUUGGUUUGUUUAAUAAUAAAGUAUGAGUAUGAUUAUAAGUAUUAUUUUGAGUACGAAUAUAAGGAUUAAUAUCAGUAUCAGUAUUAGUAUCGGUACCGAUAUCGGUAUCGGUAUCGGUAACGGUAUCGGUAUCAGCAUUAGCACUAUUUUCAUCAUUAUCAUUAGCAUUAGCAUGAACAUUAGUAUCAAUAUUAGUAUUAGUAUUAGUAUUACGAUUAGUGUUAGUAUCAGUAUUCACAUUAGUAUUAGUAUUAGUAUUAGUAUUAAUAUUAGUGAAUAUAAUAUGUAUCAAUAUCAGUAUCACUAUUAUCGUUAUUAAUAUACUAUUAGUAUUAGUAUUAGUAUUAGCAUUAGUAUUAGCAUUAGCAUUUGUAUUAGUAUUAGUAUUAGUAUUAGUAUUAGUAUUAGUAUUAGUAUUAGUAUUAGUAUUAGUAUUAGUAUUAGUAUUAGUAUUAGUAUUAGUAUUAGUAUUAGUAUUAGUAUUAGUAUUAGUAUUAGUAUUAGUAUUAGUAUUAGUAUUAGUAUUAGUAUUGGUAUUAAUAUUGGUAUUAAUAUUAAUAUUAGUAUAAUUAGUAUUAGUAUUAGUAUUAGUAUUAGGAUUAGUAUUAAUUAGUAAUAAUAUUAGUAUUAGUAUUAGUAUUAAUAUUAAUAUCAACAUUAGUAUUACAAGUUGCAUGGACAAUUAUAUAUCGUAAUGCAGAUAAUAGAGUAUGGGUAGCAUAAAGAAAUUUAUCAAGUUGGAAUCAGGCGAAUAAUGUUAUUAACAAUUUUGUCUACCAGGAGGGUUUAUAAGUGAUUAUGAAGGUAUAGCACAAUUUUUUGUGAUUUUAUAACAAAAAAUUUCAUCUCUAAUGUACAUUAAUGCCGCUCUAAUGAUUUUUUUUUUAAUCUAGGUAAUUUUAUAUAAAUUCUAUUUAUUUUACAUUUUUAGGUGAUUUAUUAUUCAGUAAUGUGUACGACUGAGAGAAUAUGAACAAUGCAAAAUGUGUAGCUUAAUUACUCACAAGGUAUUAGAUGAGUUGUAAACGAUUUCAAUACAUGUAUAAAAUAUCACUUUGAUAAUUAAAUUUCAUGUUAAAGAUUCGAGUGCAUUGGGCGAGAUAGUUUUACGAUUUGGGUCAGAUGAGGUAUUGUAUAUUUUAUAUCACAAGUAUUUAGUUUAUAUUUUAUUUUAUUAUUAUUAUUGUUUAAGUUUUGUAUUUAAAUCAGAUGGAAUGGAUAUUUUUUUUGUUUUGGAUUAUAUCAUAUUAUAUAUCAAUUUAUUAAAGUUUUUACUAUAUUAUUUUAUUUAAAUGUAUUUUCAUUGUUCGUGACCGUAGCUUCAUGUUAUAUUGUACCAACAUUUAGAUUAAUGUACAAGAGUGGUCCAUUCAUUCGAUUCCCCACUUGGAGAUGGUUGUGGCAUUUCGGCGUGGAUGGUUUGUACAAGAUUGCCAUUUUAUAUUUAUGUAGACUUUUUGGUGAUGAUAUAAAAUACGAAAUUGUUAUUUUUUGUUCGGUCGUAUUCGACUUAAAUCCUCGACCUUCUUUUAGUUCGGUGAUUUUUUAGAAUAAUUUCUUUUGAUCUAAAAUUUGAUCCCUCCCGUGCAUCGCACGGGUGAGAUACUAGUUCUUUUAUAUUUUAAAAAGUACUCAAAAUCUGCUAAUGAAAUACACAUUUUGUCACUUGCAACUUUAAUAUGCUUACCACUCCUUAAAUAUUUUCACCAAUUUUAUGUCUAUAUAUUUCCUAAAUUAGCCCAAAAUUUGUAAAAUAAUCCCUUUAAAUUUGAAAAUAUUACAUAUUUUUAUUAUUUAAUGUGUAUAGUAUUAAAAAAAAAAAUCGGGGGCACUGCCCCCGAACCCCCGUAAACUUUUACCUUUUUUACUAUAUUUAAUUCCGAACACCCUUGGCAAAAAUCCUGGAUUCGCCACUGCGCACGUCCACCUUUCUAGUUAUAAAAAAAAUGUAUUUUUCUAAGUGGGAGUUGGUUUCCAGGAUAGUGUUAGCCUGUUAGGUGAUUAUACUGAAAUGUGUUAUUUAACAAAAUUCACAGGUUUUUUUUUUACUAGUUUAUUUAUCACAUGAGAUUUUCUACAAUUUCGAGAUUAUAUGGGAGUACUUUUCGCAGUGUACUCCCUAAAAGAAUAGAACAAUGUUGGUUCAUGUUAGGUGGGAUUUAUCAGCUACUCCCAUAUUGAACAGCAUAUCCAAUUCAAAUGACGAACAAAUCGACACAAACACACACACACACACACACACACACGAGAUUUUUAAUGUUGUUAAACUAAUUACUUGGUAAAUGGUAAGUAUAUCUGUAUAUGCAGUACAUUUGAUGUGAUGAUAGGGCUGUGAAAAACAACCUUAAAAUCUACUGUUCCAUGCAUUCUUUGAUUUCAAGAAAAGCAAGAAAAUUUAUGUACCCAAUUAUGCCUUCAAAUCUUAUUGAUAAAAGCCCUUUCCAUUUCUUUGUAUUUACGUCACAUUUAUAAAUAUAUUCAUGAAAUUUGCUUAUAAAAACAUAUACCUAAGAGAAAAAAAAGAGAAGGAUAUACUGGGAAAAGGCAAAGUGCUGCUGAUCACAGGGGAGAGACUGGUAAUAGCAAGUUUUGGCUUAAGGUCUUGAGAGACCUGCACUCUGAGUAGACAUGAGAUUGGUGUGGACAUAGCAAAAUAAACUUACAAAGAACUGUAGACAAACUUAUUUCUAUUAUUAUUUAUUAAAACAAAAAAAAGAUUAUUUCUAAUAAUAUAAAAUACAUUUUAACGUACUACGAAGCACAUGCACAUAUACUAGUGGAAGAUAAGAAAAUAAUAAAUGUCGACAGAAAUUUGGUGGCAAUUUCUUCUUUGACUAAAGAGGCGCACACCAAAGUUGAAAACAUUGAUAUAAUACAUUUACUUUGAAUUUUGAUAUACCAAGAUCUGCACUGCAUUAUUAAUUAUAUGCAUUACUUUGAAUCUGUCCAAUUAAUUAUAAAUCACAAUAUUUAAACAAUUAAAAAAUAACACAUAAUUGUACUCACCAAAUUAUUCCACCAAAUAUUUAAUUUAUUUCACUAUUUCCCAUAAAUAUAGUCUGUAUGCAAUGAUUUGUUUAACUGAAAUGUUAACUGUAGCGGGACUUUUACUGAAAUUGGCUUAUUUGCAGCGAUACCUUUUCAUUUCAACUUUUUCAACUUUUUGAAAAACUCAAAACGCUCUCAACUAAAAAAAGUCGAGAAUUCAGAUUUUCGUGUUUAUUUGAUAAAUCGACUGCCCGACGACAACAAAUAACAAUAUGGCCGAUUCUGACGAGUCUUACGAGGUAAAUCGAAGAAAGUAGUGGAAGUUGAAAUUUUUCGUCGGGUCUAUCGUGUUGUGGAGCACGGGAAUCCAAAAAAAUUGCGGUUCCCGUGCUGUACAACACGAUAACAUCAAAAAAAAAGAAGAAUUAAAUGUAUAGUUCGUGCUGUGUAGCACGGGAAUAUCAAGUCCCCGUGCCGCAGAGGACGGAAACUUGUGGAUCCCGUGCCAUGCAGGACGGGAAACCAUGAACGAUCGUGCUCUGCGGCACGGGAACCCCAAAUUAAUUUUUUUUUAUUGUUAUUUAUAUACUAAUUAUUACUUGUUAUAUCUUAAUAGGGUACCUGAUGGUGAUUUUGACGAUGAAUUUAGAACUGAAUAUGACAAACAAUACAAUGAGUACGAGGAUCCCAACAUGUGUUUCGAUGUUCCUCAAGACACACCAAAAACUUCUGAGGAUCACAGUCAAUAUUACAAUGUAGGUGUUUUUAAACAUGUGUUUUUACCUAAAUUGAAAAUAAAAAUAAUUAAAAGUAGUAGGAAAUCGAAAACUUACCGGAAUCGAGCCUCGUUUGUACGGUUUGAAUGUCGAAAAUUUUUACGAAAUUCGAAUUUCUAGAGAGUGUUUGGGAAUAGGAGAGAUAAAUUGAAAGUUGAAAAAAUUAAAAUGAAAAAGGUACCGCUGCAAAUAAGCCAAUUUCAGUAAAAGCCCCGCUGCAAAUAGUAACACUCUUUUAAGGGUACUCGAUACAAUACGCACACGGCUUACGAUACCGGGAAUCCUGGCAUGUGUAGUUAGUACCUGCAUGCCCAUAUAUAAUUUAUUAUUAUUAUUAUUAUUAUUAUUAUUAUUAUUAUUAUUAUUAUUAUUAUUAUUAUUAUUAUUAUUAUUAUUAUUAUUAUUAUUAUUAUUAUUAUUAAUUUCUUAUGAGGUCCACACUCAAAUUUCUUAUUUGGUAGCAAUUUCUUCUUUGACCAAACCAAGAUCUGCACUGCAUGCAUUAUUCCCCUUCAUUUCAUAUUCCAAACAAUUAGCAAAAGUUUUUUCUUUUAAUCAAAAGUUGUUCAGAAAUGGCAGAAGCUUUCCUUGGAAUAGUUCUUGAAAAUCUGAGCUUACUGAUACAAGGUGAGAUUGGAAUGAUAAUGGGUGUUGAUGAAGAGAUGAAUAAUCUGUUCAGCACACUCACCACCAUUCAAUCUGUGCUCGAAGAUGCCGAGAUGAAGCAACUUCAAAGCAGACCCAUACAGAAUUGGCUACUCAAGCUCAAAGAUCUUACGUAUGAGAUUGAUGACAUCUUGGAUGAGUGUGCUACGGAACUCUCGAAAUUGGAGCACAGAAACAGCAAAUCCAGUCGCUAUAGCUUGAAGAAACUUCUCUUCCGACACAAAAUUGGAAGAAGGAUGAAGCAAGUCACGGAGAAACUGGACGCGGUUGCUGCAGAGCGUUCGAAGUUCCAUUUGCGCGAGAUUGCUGUAGAGAGGCCAAACGAGUUUGCUGCCACACGUGAGACUGGUUCCAUUUUGAACGAGUCUCGUUACAUUUAUGGGAGGGAAGAAGAUGCAGAGAAGAUUGUUGACAUCUUGGUCAACCAGGUCAACGACAAUCAAGAAAUUACCAUCCUGCCCAUAAUUGGUGUUGGAGGCCUUGGCAAGACUACCCUUGCUCAAUUAGUCUACAACGAUCCACGGGUCGUUGAACAUUUCGACAAACUAAUUUGGGUUUGUGUGUCUGACGAUUUUGAUCAGAAGACUUUGGUGAAAGGCAUGAUUGAAUCUGGGGGUGGAAGUGCUUCGGACUUGGUGCACUUGGAUGCUUUGCAGCGCGUCCUAUGGGAGUUGCUCAACAACAAAAGGUAUUUGCUUGUAUUGGACGAUGUUUGGAACGACGAUCAGGAGAAGUGGUAUGAAUUAAGAAAUGUUUUGGCAAGUGGCCGGGGUGGUAGUUCGAUUAUCGUCACCACACGCCUCAAAAAGGUUGCUGAUAUAAUGGGAACACUUGCACCACAUUACUUAAAGGGGUUGUCGGACGAGCAUUGCUGGAUGUUGAUGCGUGAACGAGCGUUUGGACAGGAGAAACAGGAAUUUCCAAACCUGGAAGCCAUUGGGAAGCAGAUUGUGAGCAAGUGUGCCGGUGUUCCUUUGGCUGCUAAGGCGCUCGGAGGUCUGUUGCGGUUUAAGAGGACAGAGAAAGAGUGGAAUUAUGUGAAAGAAAGUGAAAUAUGGGAAUUACCUCAAGAAGAAACUCCGAUACUGCCAGCCUUGAAGUUGAGUUAUCAUCAUCUUCCUUUAUCAUUGAGGCAGUGUUUUGCUUAUUGUGCAGUCUUUCCCAAGGAUUCUCAAAUUACGAAAGAAGAGUUGAUCUUUAUGUGGAUGGCGCAUGGUUGUAUUUCAUCAAAGGGAGUACUUGAAAUAGAGGAUGUUGGCAAUCAAAUAUGCGAUGAGCUCCUUUUCAGAUCUCUCUUGCAAUACGUUCCGGAUACAUAUAAACCAACUCUCAUUAUGCACGAUCUUGUUCAUGAUCUCGCCCAAUCGAUCAUGGAGAACAAAGUUCCUGGAACACAAGUCCAAAGGACAAACUUCAGAAGUGCAUCGUCUAACAGCAAAAUCCGCCAGGUGAAUUUGCAAGAAAAGUUUAUUCUCUUUCCUACGAGUUAUCAGCCAGAGAUGGACAUGCCUCUCGUCUUAAAGAAUUUUUUGCGUUUGAGAAUAUUAGAUGCACGUUGGACAAGGAUAGAAAGUUUGCCUUGUGUAGUAGGCAAUUUGAAACAUUUGCGACAAUUGAAUUUGUCUGGAUCAUGUAUUCUUACCCUACCAGACUCAAUAUGCAGUCUCUGGAAUUUGCAAGUCUUGAAUUUGGACUACUGUCGAGAGCUUGAGGCAUUACCAAAGAAGAUAAGGGACUUGAUUAAUCUCCGUCAUCUACUUUUACAAUAUUGUAGAUCACUAAGGGAGAUGCCAUCUAAAAUUGGGGAACUUACUAGCCUUAGAACAUUGAGUUUGUUCAUAGUGGAUCGUAAUAGAGGUAAUCGACUUGAAGAACUGCAAUGCUUGAAGCUGGGUGGCAAUCUUACUAUUUGUCAUCUGGAGAGAGUGGAAAACCCUAUGGAUGCAAAGAAAACAAAUCUUGCUGAAAAAGAAAAUCUUCGUCAUUUGUAUUUAGAGUGGGAACAUGAGAAUACUGCAUCAAAAUCAUCAGGGGAAGAAGAUAUAGAGAGAGAUGAAAAGGUGUUGGAAGCACUUGAACCUCACCCACAUCUCGAAACUUUAGAUAUAAAAGGAUUUGGGGGUAGGCAUUUUCCAGUUUGGAUGUCAAAUUCAACUCUGGCGAAACUAGUUAAAAUUUAUAUACAAGGUUGCGACAACUGUUUGCAUCUUUCACAACUGGGAGAGCUACCUCAUCUUAAGUUCUUGAGGUUAACGAAUCUGGCACGGGUGGAGUACAUUAUUGAAGAUGAAAGUGGGAAUCGAUUAACGAGCGUACAACAGUUCCAAUCUCUGGAAAAAUUGUAUUUAACAACUCUCCCCAAAAUGAAAGGAUUGUUGAAAGAGCAAGUGAUGAUGGGAUCAGCACCUAAAGCAUUCCCAAAUCUUAAAGAGCUAAACAUUCGAGAUUGCAAUUCAUUAAUUAUGGCUUCAUUGUCUAAGGUGGAUCGGAACGCUCCUACUGAUCUUUACGUGGACUUUAAGGAGAAAUUGACAUGCAUUACAAUUGAGACUAAUCUCAAGAAGUUGACGAUUAAAAAAGCGAAAAAAUAAGUGAUCUUCCAGAACAAGAGAUGCGAGCCUUGAUAUCUCUUACGCAUUUAACGAUAGACGAAUGUGAUACACAGAGGUGUUUGCCUGAAGGGUGGUUGCGACACCUCACUUCUCUGGAGGAACUAGUAAUAUGGAGGUGCCGAGAACUAGUAGAGCUGCCGGAGGAGGGGAUUAAACACCUCCACAGCCUGAAAAGAGUAUCCCUAAUUUAUCUUCCAAAGAUGGUUUGUGUUCCUAAAGCAUUAAGCCACCUUUCAUCCUCACUCCAAUCUCUAAUCCUAUCCAGCCUUCCAGAGCUGAGUUCGCUGCCGGAGUGGUUGGGAGAUAUGACAUCUCUUCAAUCUCUCAAUAUUUAUGAGUGCCGAAAGGUAGCAUCACUUCCAGCUAGUAUCCAGGGAAUGACAAAGCUCCAAUAUCUGGAAGUGCUUGCAUGCCCGGAACUGGAAAGGAGAUGUGAGAGAGAAAAGGGAGAGGACUGGCACAAGAUAUCACAUAUUCCCCACCUGCAAAUUGGUUAAUGGAUUUUCCUAAUUGGCAGUAAAUCUCUUUUUGCUUUUAUCAUGUUUAUAAAUUUAGUAUUUCUUCAACUAUCUUUUUGUUCUCUGAUAAGUGGUUAGCUUUGACACAUCCUUUUUUGUCUCUGUCUUUUAACAAACAGGCACGCCAUAUUCGAUUCGAUUCGCUGCAUGCCUGAUGAUUACAAGAAAACAUCUUCAACUAAUACAUAUUUGUGCCAUUCUUUUCGUUUUGCCCGAGCUGUGAUGAUGUAUCAAUGCAAAGUGAACUUAAUGUUAAUUUGGUAUUUUGAUUUAAUUUGUUUGAAAACAUGUGUUUUAUUCCGCAAGUGAAGUUUAUGCCUGUAACAUGUCAUAAACAAAUGAUAAUAUAUGGUUUGAAAACCCCAUCUCUCUCUCUCUCUCUUUCUUUUUUACUUCAUCUUCUGUUCUAACACACCAGCUUAUACAGAGAUUCUCUUACACAACAGAAGUUAAUCUACAGAUGACUAUAUUGCAAAGACAAAAAUAAAAUCAAAAUUCGCAGGUAGAGGUAAAUAUCACGACAGAUUUCAGAUUAGGCAAAUACAUCCAGUUGAGAUUUAAAUACCUGUACAAGAAAAAGCAAUAAAUUAUUUCUUGAUUUAUACAAAUUAUUUCUUCAAAACACCCACCCACAAAGCAGUAACCCCCAAAAUCUAACUUAAUUACCCAAAUUCUUAAUAAUUACUAAUUUUUUUUUUUUUUUUUCUGAAUGAAUUCCCAACAACGAUUCAAUAUAAAGAGAAUUAAUAAUUCACAAAUAUCACUCAGAGACUUGGCAAUAUUCUUUAUCUCGCAGGACAUAAACAAUCAAAUAAAAACCUAAUCUUGAGUUUUUUUUUUUUUCAAUGAAAAAAAAAAACUUGUACAAGGAGGAUCGGUAAACCCACUUCUCGAACCAGCAUCACAAAUUUAAAUAGCCAAAGAAUCUUCUUCCGUAGCAGAAAUUUCGAUUCCUUGAUUCAAUUUAUUUAUUUAUUAUUCCAUUUUCCGAUCAAAAUCACAACAAGAAACGCAUGGAACCGGCCUUACAAUUCAGGCGAGGAUUAUGCCAAAAAAAAAAACUGUUCUAUUUCAUGAUCGGUGCUUCAAAUAAUGGAGUUUGGAGGGCACCGUCCAAAUGUUUUUAGACCGCGCUAAAGUUCGGGGGACCAAAUUGGUGGGGGUAAUACAAUCAUCAGGGGCAAUUAUGUCAUUCUACAUAAAAAAAUUAGAAAAAAAAAUACACAAAUACUGUCAAACAGAAAACCGACCUUAGCCAAUUAUAAUUAUGUGUGCUGCCGACACAAUUAUUAGUAGUUAAAUUACAAAAACACCCCCUUAGGUAAGGUAUAUUUACUAAAAAAAACCCUCAUUGUUCCUCAAUUACAUCCAUCCCCUGACAUUUGUAGAUUUCUUACAUUGACAUCCUUUUGUUUGGGGUGGAUGUAAGAAAUUUAGAAACUGCAGGGAGCUGAAUGUAAUUUCUCAAACAAAAGGGUUUUUUUUUAUAAUUACACUUUACCUCAGGGAGGUGAUUGUAAUUCACCCAUUAUUAGUAGAAGCUGAUAAGAAAUGUCCACAGAAAUUUGGUGGCAAACUCUUCUCCGCAUUUACUUUGAAUUUUGAUAUACCAACAUUCAUUACCACGUCAUCUCAUAUUCCAAACAAUUAGCAAUAGUCCAAGGUGCGAUUGGAUUGAUUGUUGGUGUGGAUGAAGAGAUAAAGAGAUGAGUAUAGUGGCGGUGGCGAUACAGAGGACGUGGUGGAGGAUAUUGUGUUUUGGGGUGUGGUGAAGAAGAGGGCUUCUCUUCAAAUGUGAGGGGCUGAAGUGAAAUUUUUAUAAACUUCAUUUCGGUCUUAUGAACAAAAAAAUGGGGGAAUCUGUAAUUUUUAAAAUUUAUGAUUAAGGAUAUUUGUGUCUAGUUCAAAAAUCGAUAAAUUAUAGUUUUCACCCCUCAAGUUUUCACCGAUUUUGCAUUUGGUCCCACGUUCCAAAAAAAAAUCAGAGAAGAAGAAGAACAACAACAAUCAAAUAAUGUUGGCGGUGGUCUCUAUUGAAAUUUCAGACGCAAUAUCAACCCUAGCGCCACUGCGUAGUCUCGUCAUUCUCCCUACCGAAAACCCUAACGCCGUCCUUGACGAGAGAAUUCCAGGGGUGGAGACCGCCUUCUUUUCGCGGCGGUGGAGGGAGGAACGUCGAUGGGAGAGAGUAGACGACGGCACAGAGACGGAAGAGGGUUGGAGGUGGCGGCAGCGCAGAGAUGGAGAAGGUUGGAGGCGGCUUAUAGAGAGAAAAGGGAGAGGGGAAUAAGAGAAACAGAGAGAACGUGAAAUAAGUUUGGUUAUUUUAAAUAUAACAUAGAAGAAUAAAUUAGGUAUAUUACUCAUGUUAAAUACAAUAUUAAUUAAAAAAUAAAUUAUUUAAUAUAAAGUGGGGGUCUCACUAAUAAUGAAAAAUAGGUUAUAUCCACCCUAAUAUAAGUAAAUGAGUUAGGGGUUUUUCACUAAUUAUCCCCUAUAUAUAUAUAUGGCAGAGGGAUCUAUCUUCAGUUUUUUCUUGAAAAAUUGAGCUCGUUGAUCAAGGUGGAGUUUGGAUUGAUUACGGGCGUGGAUGAGGAGAUGAAGAAGCUCUCCAGCACCCUCACCGCCAUUCAAGUUGUGCUCGAAGUGGAGCUCGCCGUACCUUGAAUUGACGGCGACUUCGGAGAAGAUCUGAAUUCACAGCGGCGGUGGCGAGAAGAAGAUGGCAAUGUCGGAGAAGAAGAUGGGAGAAGAAGAUGAAGUUGGGGGUCCCGUGAGUUUGACGGGAAGAAAAAUUCCAAUUUUUUGUUUCUUUUUUAAUUAAUAUUUUUAUAUUUAGUAGAUAUUUUUUUUUAUUUUGUUUAAUAUGAAACUAGAAAAACUGAGAGAGAUUUAGAGGGGUAUUUAUGUCUUUUUACACAAAAAGUCCCACAAGCAGUCGUAUAGAUAGCACGUGAAUGGCACGAACAAGAGGUAGGGGUGUAUAACUUUGACUACUGAUUACAGGAUGUUUUUGGCCACUUAAUUUUUCCGAGGAGUUUUUUUGGCCUUUAGAAAGUACACAUGAGGUGUUUGCAUUUAACUCCUUAAAUAAAUCAUUUUAGGACAAAAUGAACUUCACCCCUGCAAAUUUCUUAUUUUAGCACUUUCCUUACUAAAAAUUCAAAAACUAGAUAAUCCCCUCAAAAUAUUAUUUUGGUUGCACUUUGCCCCAUAAGCCCAUUUUUGGUGGACAUUGUACAACAAAAAUAACAUUUUAAAGGGGUAAUGUGCGAAAAAAUAAUGUUUUUAAGGGGUAACGUGCAACAAUAAAACAUAUAAAGGAGCUACAUGCAACAAAAAUACUAAAUUACGAUGAAUAAUCCAUCGAAAUUUUGAUAUGGGGGCAAUGUGCAACAAGAAUAACAUUUUGAAAGGGGGACAUUCACUUUUUCAAAUUUUGAGGGGGUAAAGUGCAAAAAUUUUAAAUUUUUAGGGGGUGAUGUGCAAUUUGCCCAUCAUUUUAUUAUUCAAAUAAAGUAUUCAGUUUGUGUACAAGCCACUUUUAAAAAACUUCAACCAACCAGAAUCAAAUCAACUUCACAAAAAUUAUAAAGUAGUCCACUUAUUUCUAAGACAAUAACUCUCAACUGAUUAUUAAACAUUGACAAGUUCUUGUUUGACUUUAGAGACACGCAACAAAGUUGAAAAGAUGCGUUUGCUUUGAUAUGUAAAAAAACUUCUCUCAUAUUCCGAACAAUUAACAAAAACAAAUCCUCAUAGUUCAAAUAUGGCAGAGGCAUUUCUUAAUUUACUUGUUGGAAAUCUGAGCUCAUUGAUCCAAGGUGAGAUUGGAUUGAUAAUGGGUGUGGAUGAAGAGAUGAAUAAUCUCUCCAGCACACUCACCACCAUUCAAUCUGUGCUCGAAGACGCAGAAAUGAAGCAACUUCAAAGCAAGGCCAUACAUAAUUGGCUGGUCAAACUCAAUGAUCUUGCCUAUGAUAUUGAUGACAUAUUGGAUGAGUGUGCAACUGAAGUCUCGAAAUUGGAGCACAGAAGCAGCAAAUCAAGACGCUAUAUCUUGAAGAAAAUUCUGUUUCGACGCAAAAUCGGAAGAAGGAUGAAGCGAGUCACGCAGCAAUUGGAUGCGGUUGCUGCAGAGCGUGAUAAGUUCCAUUUGCGUGAGAUGGCUGUACAUAAGCCCAUCGAGUUUUAUGCCACGCGCGAGACUGGUUCCAGUUUGAACGAGUCUCAUCUUGUAUAUGGUAGAGAGGAAGAUACAGAGAAGAUUGUUGGCAUCCUGGUCAACCAGGUCAACGGCAAUCGAGGAAUUACCAUCCUGCCCAUAAUUGGUGUCGGAGGCCUUGGCAAGACAACCCUUGCUCAAUUAGUCUACAAAGAUCAACGGGUCGUCGAGCAUUUUGACAAAAGAAUUUGGGUUUGCGUCUCUGGCAAUUUUGAUCUCAAGACUGUAAUGAAAGCCAUGAUUGAAUCAGGUACUGCAAAUUCUUCAGACUUAAUGCACUUGGAUAGUAUACAGCUCUGCCUAUGGGAAUUGCUGAACCAGAAAAGAUAUUUGCUUGUAUUGGAUGAUGUUUGGAACGAGGAUCAACACAAGUGGUCUGAAUUAAGAAAUGCUCUUGCAUGUGGCUCGAAUGGGAGUUCAAUUAUCAUCACCACACGCCUCAAAAAGGUUGUUGAUACAAUGGGAACACUUCCACCACAUUACUUGACAGGAUUGUCAGAAGAGCAUUGUUGGACUCUUCUACGGGAACGUGCACUCGGACAAGACAAGGACGAAUUUUCCAAUCUCGAAGCCAUCGGGAAGCAAAUUGUGAAGAAGUGUGCUGGUGUUCCUCUGGCUGCUAAGGCGCUUGGAGGUCUGCUGCGGUUUAAGAGGACAGAAAAUGAGUGGAAUUAUGUAAAAGAAAGCGAAAUAUGGGAAUUACCUCAAGAAGAAACUUCUAUACUACCAGCAUUGAGGUUGAGUUAUCAUCAUCUUCCUCUAGAGUUGAGACAGUGUUUUGCUUAUUGUGCAGUCUUUCCCAAGGAUACUUUUAUUCGGAAAGAUGAAUUGAUCUUUAUGUGGAUGGCGCAUGGAUAUAUUUCAUCAAAGGGCGUGUUGGAAAUGGAGGAUGUUGGCAACGAAAUAUGCAAUGAGCUAGUCUUGAGAUCCCUUUUGCAAAUCGUUACAGGUACAAAUAUUAAAACCAAUUUGAUUAUGCAUGAUCUCGUUCAUGAUCUCGCCCAAUCAAUCAUGGAGAACAGAACCACCGGGGCACAUACCCAGAGGAAUGUGACAAGUACUGCACCAAAUAGCAAAUUACGCCAGGUAAAUUUACGAAAAAAAUCCGUUGCCUUCCCUACGAGUAAUCAACCCGAGAUGGACAUGUCCUUCAUCUUGACGAAAUUUUGUCGUUUGAGGAUACUAGAUGCAAGCAGGACGGGGAUAAACGAAUUGUCUUAUGCAGUAGGCAGUCUGAAACAUUUGCGACACUUGAAUUUGUCCGAGACUCGAAUUCGUACCCUCCCCGAAUCGUUAUCCAGUCUUUGUAAUUUGCAAGUUUUGAAUUUGGAUUACUGCAAGGAUCUCGUAGCUCUACCGAAGAAGAUGAGAUGCUUGAUUAAUCUCCGUCAUCUAUUUUUAGAAUCAUGCACAUCACUGAAGGAGAUGCCAUCUAAAAUCAGGGAACUUACGUGUCUCAGAACAUUGAGUCUAUUCGUAGUGGGCCGUGAUAGAGGUAAUCAACUAGAAGAAUUACAGUGCUUGAACCUCGGUGGCAGGCUUACAAUUCCACAUCUGGAGAGAGUGGAAAAUCCCGUGGAUGCAAAGAAGGCAAAUCUUAGAGAGAAGAAAAACCUUCACCGUUUGAGUUUAGUGUGGGAAAGUGACAACAUUGCAUCAAGAUUAGAGGUGGAAGAGAGAGAUGAAAAGUUGUUGGAAUCACUCGAACCUCACCGAAAUCUCGAAAGUUUAGGGAUAAGGGGAUUCGGAGGUAGAUUUUUUCCGAUUUGGAUGUCGAAUUCGACUCUGGACAAAGUAGUCGAAAUCCACAUAUCAUACUGCAAGAAUUGUUUGAGACUACCACAACUGGGAGAGCUACCUCAUCUUAAAUCCUUGACUUUAGAUCAUGUGGCGGCGGUGGAGUACAUUAUCGAGGGUCAAGUUCAGAGUGGAAAUACGUUAUGUGUAAAUUUUCCAUCUCUGGAAACUUUGUAUUUGUGUUCUCUUCCGAAUCUCAAAGGGCUGUCGAAAGAGGAAGCGACAAGAGUAGCGUUCCCGAAUCUCGAGAAGUUAUGCAUUCUACAUUGUUCUUCAUUAGUAAUGCCGCCACUCUCAUCCCUAAAAAAAUUGAAGACUUUGAGCUGCAGUAGCUCAACUUUGGCUUCACUGUCGAACCUGUACACCGUCACUCUUCUUCUUGUGGACAUUGACAAGAAUACGACAUGCAUUCCGAUCGAGACGCUGCAAAACCUAAACAAUCUCGACGAUUUGUCGAUCUACGGAGCACAUGAGCUAUGCUUGCCAGAAGAAGGGCUGAAAUCCCUAAAAUCACUAAAACGCUUGCAUGUAAUAGAUAGCGAGAAGCUGACGUGUUUGCCUCAAUGCUGGUUGCGAAACUUGACUUCUGUAGAGGAACUAGAAGUAAGCCGAUGCUCGGAAAUAGUGGAUCUUCCGGAAGGUAUUAGAUAUUUUAACUGCUUGAAAGAACUGAAGCUCGACGAUCUUUCUAAGAUGGUGCGUGUGCCCGAAGCAUUGCAACACAUUUCGUAUUCGCUCCAAUCUCUCAAACUGCACCGCCUUCAUGUGCUGAGUUCACUGCCGAAGUGGUUGGAUGGUUUGACAUGUCUUGAAUCACUGGAUAUUUACGACUGCCCGAAGAUAGCAUCGAUUCCAGAUAGUGUAAGAGGAAUGACGAAUCUUCGGUAUCUGUGCGUGGAGAAAUGCUCGGAAUUGGAAAGGCGGUGCGAGAGAGGGGAUGGGGAGGACUGGCACAAGAUAGCGCAUAUUCCACGCCUGCAAAUUGGUGAACGCUGGUGAUUAAUUGAUAAUAAAUCAUCAACUAGCUCUUUCCAAUUCUGUAAUUUUACAAGAAUUAUUUUGGAGGUUAGAAAUGUAGAAGUUGAGCAAACUUUCAAACAAUUUCUACAUUUACUACCCAUGUUAAAAUCGCAACUGUGUUUUUCCCCAUGUCAUAAGAAAAUUAGCGAAUACCGUCUUGUAUUUAUUUUUGGACAGUAUACUCUACGGUUUUGUAGAACCUACGCCCGAUGAAUUAGGUGAAAUACGUAUAAUAAUAGAAGUCUAUGUGAAUGCAUGCUUAGAGGAUAGUUAUUUAUGUAGAUUUACGAUUUAAAACUACAUGGUGUAUUUCAUAGGUUGUAGUAUCUCAUAAGCCCACACACACUACCUAUUUAACUUUUUCUCGUUGACCGGUUGUGAAAGGACAAAAACAACCCGGGAGGUUUCUGCAAAAAACUAGAGUUAAUUGCGGGUGUGGGGUUCUGGGAAGAAGACGACUGCUUUAUUUUAUUUUUUUCCUUCAUUUUUUCUUCUUCUUCUUAUUAUUAUUAUUAUUAUUAUUAAUAUUAUUAUCAGGCCCCGUUUGGUUGCCAAGAUAAACCAAGAUUAACUAAAUAGCUGGACUUAAUUUGAUGUUUGGUAUCUUCAAUAAAUGCGGGUCGACCCGCCAAAAUUAUAUAAUCAUGGCUUAUCUUGGCUUAUCUUGCCUUCUAGUGUGUUUUUUUUGUUGGACGUCGCAAGCUCCAAUAAAAUAAUUGGGUUUCAUUAGACUAUUUAAUCUUAUCUUGGCUAAUCUUAUCUUGCCAACCAAAAAAAAUAAUGCGCGUACACGCAAGGCACGUGUUUCAGCCUUGAGCGAGUCCAUGUUAUCGUGCGAAGGCAGCAAAGUCAACUUUCUGUCUCUUUCACCAUUUUCUCCAUUAACAAAUGACAAUGCUUGAGACAAGACGACUUUCUUGCAAGUACUGGAAUGCGUCCAAAUAUCCAUAACUAAUCCUUCUUUGUUAUUAAGCAACACUAUUUUUUUUUUAAAUGAAGAAUCAAUUUAAUAAGUAGGAUAAAUUGCACUUCGCCCCCAAGAAAUUUCUAGUUUUUGCACUUUCCCCCUUACAAAUAAAAAAAUGAGACUUUCUCCAUUCCAAAUAUUAUUAUAGUUGCACUUUGCCCCAAAUGGGACUUUCCGGCGUAAUUUUUCACCCGUUUUCUCACGUCUCUGCCAACUGCAUUUUCAUCAUUUUUCACCAAUCCCACCCAAAUAUUAGUAUCCUUGAACAAAAAACCCAACCCAUUAUACAAUUCAUUACAUUAUUGCAAAACAAACAAAAAAUUACGUUUUUUCUCUCAACACAUUCCGCAGAUUGUGGUCACCAAAUUGUAAAAAUCUUCAAUUUUCUUCUUCGAUUACCAUUUGUUACGGCGAUCCCCUCCCAUAGAUUUAAAAAGUAUGAGUUGGAAACGAAGUGAAGGAAUGCACAAAGUGAACAAAGGACAUGCAUAUAACCCACAAAACCAAUAUGUGAUCGAUUUGUGUAACAAAAUGAAAAGAGGUAAUGUAUAAAACACAUAAAACCGACAUUCCAUGAUUUUCCUCGUCUAACAAAAUGAAAAGAAGGUCGAAAUUCAAACACCCAUAAAUCGUAGCUUUAACAAUUGAAUAUUAAACAUAAAGAAUGAAACACACAAAUAACCUUACCUUUGUCACAAAGUUUUUUGCCUUUAAAGAGAAAAAUAGAAUCCUAAUUUUGGAGCUCAAUUAUGUGAUUGUGGGUUAUAAAGAAUAAAAAAAUUGGGGAUUUGGGUGCAAAAUUGCGUAUAUACACUGAAAGGACAAAAAAUGCGCUUUAAGUUGACGGAGACAUGAGAAAACCGGUGGAAAAUACGCCGGAAAUUCCCAUUUGGGUCAAACUGCAAUUAUAACGAAAUUCAGAAGGGGAUAGUCUCAUUUUUUAAUUUGUAGGGGGGAAAGUGUGAAAAGUAAAAAUUUCUAAGGGGCGAAUUGCAUUUUGUCCUAAUAAGUAUCCACUUGAAUCUUCUGUUAGACAACUUCUUUUUUGAAAAGAUGCAUGCAUUUACUUUGAUUAACUCAACAUCUUCAUAGCUCUCCCUCAUACCUCAUCUUCUCAUAUUCCAAAGUUGAUCUGAAUAUUAGCGAAAAAGAAAAUAAUUCAUCGAAGUUGAUAUGAAUAUUGAUUUGUUCAGAAAUGGCAGAGUCGUCGUUCCUUCAAAUAAUUCUUGAAAAACUGAGCUCAUUGAUCCUUAAAAUAUUAGCGUAAAAUUAAUUUUAAAAACUUCAUUUCGGUCUUUCGAAAAAAUUGGGGGGAAUCUGUAAUUUUUAAAAUUUAUGUUAAAGGAUGACAAAUGAUACACCACUAGUAUAUCCAUUAUAUGCAAACAUAAGUUAAUUUACAGAUGAUUAAAAUGCAAAGACACAUUUAAAAAUCGGAAUAAUAAUCUGAAUAAAAAUCCGAAACAAUUACGCCGGUAAGUAUGUGCCAUAUGUUUAUUAAACUUCUAUUGUAUUUAGGGUAAAUAGCAUUUAAACCCCCGUGGUUACAAACUUUUGCAGAUGACCCCUUUUACUCGUAAUAUCAGCAUAUAAACCCCCUUGUGGUUUAUGGGAAGUUUCGGUUAGUUUUCCGUCAAACUUAACCACAUGUGUCAAACUUCAAGGGGGUCAUCUGCAAAAAUUAAAGGGAAAAUGAGAGUACAAGGGGGUUAUCUGCAAAAAAAUACUUUGACGUUUGACACACGCGGUCAAGUUCGACGAAAAAACUAAUGAAAGCUACCUCAUAAACCAAAAGCGGGUUAUGUACUUAUGUACUGACAUUACAAGCACAAGUAGGCCAUAAGCAAAAGCUUUUAAAUCACAGGCAGUUGAAGUGCUAUUUACUCCUAUAUUUACUAAAAAUCCGAGAUAAGCAAGUUGAUAAAUAAAAUAUUCGUUGUUAGAGUUGAUAUAUGGGAAAAAUACAGUUUUCGUCCCUCAAGUUUAAUUUGCAUCAAUUUCACAUUUGGUCCCCUCUGUUUACAAAAACACAUUUGGUCCCUCAUGUUUCAAAAAUUCAAUAUUUUUAGUCAUUUCCGUCAAUUUUUCGUAAGUAUUAAUGGAAUCAAGCGUGUGUACAUCACUGCCUUAACUGACGGACUAGCGGUAAAUUGACGGAAAUGACCAAAAUUGUUAAAUUAUUGAAACAUAAGGGACCAAAUGUGAAAUCGGUGCAGACUUGAAGGAUGAAAAAUGUAAUUUUUCCGUCGAUAUAUAUAUAUAUAUAUAUAUAUAUAUAUAUAUAUAUAUAUAUAUAUAUAUAUAUAUAUAUAUAUAUAUAUAUAUAUAUAUAUAUAUAUAUAUAUCACCACCUUUAUUUUUUUCUUUAAAUAUAUAUACUUCACAAAAAGAAUAUAUACCGGGUAUAUACGCAACGAACGUGUUAGAGCCUUGAACGUGUCCAUGUCAACUCUCUCUCUCUCUCUCUCUCUCUCUUACGCAACGAACGUGUUACGUGUCCAUGUCAACUCUCUCUCUAAUUUUGUAUUGGACGAUGCAAUAAACACUAUUUGUUAUUAAUCAAUGCUUUGAGCUGAAGACUUUUUGCAAGUAGAGUAGUGGAAUACGUCCAGAUAUUCAUAACUAAACACUAUUUGUUUUUAAUCUAGAGUACUUAAAUAUAAUCAACGUACUGUUCAAACAUAAAAAGGGAAAAUAGCAUUUGCGCCCAUGUGGUUUGAACUUUUUGCACUUGACUCCCUUGUACUUUCAAUAUAGCACAUAACCCCCUUGUACUUAAAAAAAGUUUCUUCCUAAUGUGCAGAACUAUUUACUAAGUGGAAUACCACAGGGGGUUAUGUACUUAUAUUAAAAGUAAAAAGAGGAUCAUGUGAACACAGCUCAAACAACAGGGGCUUAACUGCUAUUUACCAAACAUAAAAAAUCAGUAUUUUAUUGAAGUUGACAAUUGAAAUUUUCAGCCUACCACAAUAAUAUCAUUUCUAAUUAACAGAUAUACAAAAGAUACAUUUACUUUGAUAAAUCAAUCUCUGCACAGCUCUCCCUCGUAUACACACACAUCUUCUCAUAUUCCAAGCAAUUAACAAAAGUAAAUUUUGAAUUUUGGAUCUGUUCAUUAUGGCAGAGGCAUUCAUUCCAAUAAUUCUUGAAAAAGUGAGCUCGUUGAUCCAAGAUGAGUUUGGAUUGAUUACGGGUGUGGGUGAAGAGAUGAAUAAGCUCUCGAGCACCCUCACCACCAUUCAAUCCGUGCUCGAAGAUGCCGAAACGAAGCAACUUCAAAGCAAGGCCAUACUAAAUUGGCUAUUCAAGCUCAAUGACCUUAUCUACGAGAUUGACGACGUAUUGGAUGAGUGCGCAACGGAAUUCUCGAUAUUGGAGCACAAAAACAGCAAAUUCGGUCGAUAUAGCGUGAAGCACAUUUGGUUUCGACAUGAAGCUGGAAGAAAGAUGAAGCACGUUACCAAAAAAUUGGAUGAGAUUGCUGCAGAGCGUGCGAAGUUCCAUCUGCAUGAGAUGGCUAUAGAGAAGCCAAACGAGUUUGCUGCCACACGUGAGACUGGUUCCACUAUGAACGAGUCUCAUCUUGUUUAUGGUAGGGACGAUGAUACGGAGAAGGUUGUUGACAUCUUGGUCAACCAGGUCAACGGCAAUCAAGAAAUCUCCAUCCUCCCCAUAAUUGGCGUUGGGGGCCUGUUGGUCGAAAACCUACACGCAAGUGCACGUAUCGUACAAGUAAUAUAGUGGACAAUUAAGUCCGGAUAUCGAACCCACAGGGAAUAUUUAAUUAUCUAACCCUAGACGCUAAAUUCUACCAAUUAUUAUCAAGCCCACCCUACACAGUCGAAAGAUGAUUAAUAAACUAAUUUAAACUAAAGCAAUUAAAACGACAAAAACAAGAAAGCAAUUAAAACGAAGAUUUAAUCAGAUAAAACGAGCCUAGGAUUUUAUUCUUCCCCCUAUGUGAUUAUUAUUCCCCCAAUUCCUUCAAUUAUGCAAGCAAUUAACCCGGAUUAUUAACCUGAGAUGCUAAAAUAAUCAUAACCCGCUUCCGCGUGUAUUACGAUUCUAAUGCUCUAGAUUCAAUUACUAUAUUCCUAUGCAAUUAAUUCUAGAACACAGCAUUAAGCACAAAUCUCAAUAAUGGCUACCUAAGAGAUUAACUAUAUUCCUAUGUUAAUACCACAAAGGCUCUUCUACCACAGUUCUAAUUAUUAACCCGAUCUUCCGAUUCAUGCGAUUAACAAUAACAUAAAAGCACAUAAGUUGAUCAAGUUCAUGCACUUAAUAAAACAAGUAGAAGAAAUAAUCCGGAAUUAAAACUUGCAUAAAAUCAUAGAAAAAGGUUCAUAAAUCCCACAUAGGGUUCCAAAUAAAAUCCUAGAAAUAAAGACUUAGCUACUCGUAAUUCUUAUGAUAAAUAAAAUAAAAUAAAUAAAUUAAAUAAGAAAAACUAUGCUUGAAUCUUCGUUGAUCUUCUAUGCUCUUGAAUUUGCGUCCAAAGAUUGAUCCCUAAUUGUGUGCUUGGAAUGGUCUUAUAUAGGGUGAAGAACUUGGGGAAGAAGGCAGUUUCCUUGUGCGAUUAAAAUCCUUUUACUGCGCAAUUUCGGGUUAUGGGACGGGGGUCCCAUGAUUUGCACUAAAACUGGGACGGGGGUCCGAGCCUUGUUUCUUCAGAAUUUUGAUUUUUUCACUUUUGGCCCAUAUUUUCUCCAAAAUUGCAGUUUUGACCCCAUACUUUUCCAAUUCUUCAAUUUGUACCUACAAUACAAUAAAUCAACUUUUUAAGCACCAAUUAUCAUUAAAACACACCAAAAGCUCAAAUAAAAAGAUACGAUAAAGUGUAAAAAUAUACACUUAACACACCCCCAAACUUGAACUUUUGCUUGUCCUCAAGCAAAUAACUCAACUAUUACAUCUCAUCACAUAGAUCAAUGAUCAACUUCACGUUUUCAGAACUUGUAAUUAUAAUGACAAUUCUUAGGCAUUCGCAAGCUCAAAAUUCAACAACACUUAGUCACUCACCAUUACCAAAAACCACAAUUCAUACAAUUGCUUCAAGCAUCCAAUAUUUGCAAAUUAAAGAUAGAAAGAAUUUAUACUUACAUGCAUAUGCUUGACUCCAAAUACUCACCAAAUUAUUCUACUCUACUAAUAUCGAACAUUAAGCUAUUGGGAUCAUUGGGGCUUUGUGGCUUUCAAUUGUUAGGCUCUUUGGUUCGAGGUAGGAAAUAUGGGUAUGUGUGGCUAUUCUUCUUGAAUUUAGGUGAUUACGCCAAAAUUUGAAAGAUAGGCGUUUGAAACAAUGAAUUCACCUCUACGGACUUUAAUAAACUCGAUUCACAAAAGUUCAAAAGUCUCCACUUUUGCUUUUAAGGCUAUGGAUCGAGUUUUCAAAAAUAAUUCAACAACUAGUCCUUAUUUUUCCCUUCUAGUCUCUUCUUCUUCUUUUUUUUUUUUUUCUUCUUUUUUUUUUUUUUUUCUUUUUUUUUUUUCUCUUUUUUUUUUUUUCUCUUUUUUUUUUUUUUUUUUUUUUUUUUUUUUUUUUUUUUUUUUUUUUCGAAGAAGAAGGACCUUAAAUUUUUUAGACCGAACUCCAAGGGGUAAUUUUUCAAGAAUCUCCACAUAUUCUACCUUACACAUUGGCUAAAAGAAAGAACACCUUUUCUCCGAGGCUCAAAUCAAGGUUCUAAGGAAAAUUUCGAUAAAAAGGUCGGCUUGAAAGGCUCAAACGGUUCAAAGAAGGCCCAAAUCAUAUCCCAAAUCACUCACUACUCAAUACUUCGUAUCAUAAAUUUCCUAAGGUGUGUCUUAAAACCGAACAUAGCAUGAUCUAGCACAAAUUAAUUCCAAAUUUAAAAUACAAAACAUUCAACCAAAGCAAUGCACAAAGUGUGAUUCCUAGCAAUAAUUCGCUUCUAAGUUCCGUUGAAUCGAAAGCUACACAAACAUCUAAUCCUUAUCACAUAACACAAGCAAUUUCAUCAUCAAACAUUGAUCAUCUCUCAUCAUCAUAAAUCAUAGAUGCAUUCGACUCAAGCAUUUUUUUUUUUUUUUUUUUUAUAUUCCGAAAAAAACGAGAAAAACAAUAAAAACGAAUAAAACCUAAUGCAUGCAAACUAAAACAAAUAAGCACAAAAAUACAUGUUUUUCACCCCCAAACUUAAAAUUUUCGUUGCCCUCAACGAAAUUAGCACAAAGUUUAAGGAUAGAAAACACCUGAUUUAGUCGGAAUCGUCGUCAUCGGGGUAUGAGAAUUGGCGGGAGGGCAAAACGAAUUUUUAUUUUUUUUUUUUUUUUUCUGGUUGUGGGACGGGGGUCCCACAUUUACACCUAUUUGUGGGACGGCCGUCCCACAGGCAGUGGUGCAAUUUUUUUUUUUUUUUUUUUUUUUUUUUUUUUUUUUUUUUUUUUUUUCGGACGGCCGACUCGACCCUCGAUCACGUUUUCGACCCUGAAAAGUAAAAUUCAAAUAGUGAAUUAGAAUGCAUGCUUAUGACAAAAAAAAACGAAACGAAAAAAAAAAAUUUAACGAAAACUACGAAAAACAAUAAAGCUCGGGUUGCCUCCCGAGAAGCGCUAAGUUUAAAGUCUUCAGCCAGACUUUGCUUCUUGAAAUCGCUAUGUCCAAUCCAAAGCCUUGUAGAUUGCGCACCCAUCCAUGAGCUUUGUCACUUCAAUUGCAACCGAUACAGGGAUAGGAUUGCAAUAUGUCAGGGUCCACUUUAGCUUGUAAAUUUUCUUGGUUGUAAUCAAUCGGUACGAAGCCAAGAUGGGGUCUUCAUCACCCGCUCCCUCAAAUCGGUACACAAGAACCUCACGUCCGCGUAUAACCUCCACUUCAAACACAUUCGUCUUCUUAUCAACCUCUAUUGAUGCCUUCAAAGCCACGUCAGGAAUAACAAUAAGAUCAUCAAUUUGAAUAUUUGCACUAACCACAUCCAUCUCCUUCUUCUCUUGUUCCGAGACAUCUUUGGAGUUGAGCUCGAUUUCAUUGUCUGAUUCAUCAUCUUCAAGUGUCUUCGUAAUUUCUUUUUCCCUCUCAUCGACACUAUUUUCUAGGUCUAAAGGAUUUUUCUCAUCACAAGUUUCAGAUGGAUUUUCUUUGUUGCAACCAUUCUCGAUAUUGUCUGAAAUAUUUUCAAGAGACCUCUUGAGCUUCAUCUCUUCCAACAUUAUUUCAAGUCUUCGGAUAGAUGCUUGAGUGGAUUUCAUAAAAUCUUCAAGGAUGGAUUUCCUAUAACACUCCUCAAUAGUGGGUUCUCGUGGCUUUGCAUAAUAGGUUUGAAAAUCAUCAAAUUGCGGCUCACGAUGUUGAAAAUUGUGGAAAUCUUGGCUUGAAUUGCUCUGCUCGUACGUGUUGGUGUAUGUGUUCCGGUAACCGCCGUUGGUGUUAUCUAUGAAAUUAUUCGCUUUCGGUGCAUACCAACAUUGGUUAGUGUAAUGAUCUCCACCACAUCUUGAACAAAGUGACGACAUAUUAUAGGUAUUUUGGAGGUAUUCGCUAGACGGAAGCCAUUCAUAUCCCGUUUGAGGUGCGCGAAAAUUGUAACCUGACAUGUAACCCAAGAAAAAAAAUUAUAUUAAAAAAAAUUAAAACGAAAAGAUAAAAUAAAAGAAAAUUGGGUGAAUCGUGAAAAUUGUUCAAAUUUAGAGCUAGAAUAAAAUAAAUAAUUAAAAUAUUCCCCGGCAACGGCGCCAAAAACUUGUUGGUCGAAAACCUACACGCAAGUGCACGUAUCGUACAAGUAAUAUAGUGGACAAUUAAGUCCGGAUAUCGAACCCACAGGGAAUAUUUAAUUAUCUAACCCUAGACGCUAAAUUCUACCAAUUAUUAUCAAGCCCACCCUACACAGUCGAAAGAUGAUUAAUAAACUAAUUUAAACUAAAGCAAUUAAAACGACAAAAACAAGAAAGCAAUUAAAACGAAGAUUUAAUCAGAUAAAACGAGCCUAGGAUUUUAUUCUUCCCCCUAUGUGAUUAUUAUUCCCCCAAUUCCUUCAAUUAUGCAAGCAAUUAACCCGGAUUAUUAACCUGAGAUGCUAAAAUAAUCAUAACCCGCUUCCGCGUGUAUUACGAUUCUAAUGCUCUAGAUUCAAUUACUAUAUUCCUAUGCAAUUAAUUCUAGAACACAGCAUUAAGCACAAAUCUCAAUAAUGGCUACCUAAGAGAUUAACUAUAUUCCUAUGUUAAUACCACAAAGGCUCUUCUACCACAGUUCUAAUUAUUAACCCGAUCUUCCGAUUCAUGCGAUUAACAAUAACAUAAAAGCACAUAAGUUGAUCAAGUUCAUGCACUUAAUAAAACAAGUAGAAGAAAUAAUCCGGAAUUAAAACUUGCAUAAAAUCAUAGAAAAAGGUUCAUAAAUCCCACAUAGGGUUCCAAAUAAAAUCCUAGAAAUAAAGACUUAGCUACUCGUAAUUCUUAUGAUAAAUAAAAUAAAAUAAAUAAAUUAAAUAAGAAAAACUAUGCUUGAAUCUUCGUUGAUCUUCUAUGCUCUUGAAUUUGCGUCCAAAGAUUGAUCCCUAAUUGUGUGCUUGGAAUGGUCUUAUAUAGGGUGAAGAACUUGGGGAAGAAGGCAGUUUCCUUGUGCGAUUAAAAUCCUUUUACUGCGCAAUUUCGGGUUAUGGGACGGGGGUCCCAUGAUUUGCACUAAAACUGGGACGGGGGUCCGAGCCUUGUUUCUUCAGAAUUUUGAUUUUUUCACUUUUGGCCCAUAUUUUCUCCAAAAUUGCAGUUUUGACCCCAUACUUUUCCAAUUCUUCAAUUUGUACCUACAAUACAAUAAAUCAACUUUUUAAGCACCAAUUAUCAUUAAAACACACCAAAAGCUCAAAUAAAAAGAUACGAUAAAGUGUAAAAAUAUACACUUAACAGGGCCUUGGCAAGACGACUUUUGCUCAAUUAGUCUACAACGAUCAACGGGUCAUUAAACAUUUCGACAAACUAAUUUGGGUUUGUGUGUCCGACAAUUUUGAUGUGAAGACUUUGGUGAAAGCCAUGAUUGAAUCUGGAGGUGGAAGUGCUUCGGACUUGGUGCACUUGGAUGCUUUGCAGCGGCGACUCUGGGAGAUGCUGAACAACAAGAGGUACUUGCUUGUAUUGGAUGAUGUUUGGAACGAAGAUCAAGAGAAGUGGUUCGGGUUAAAAAAAGUUGUGGCACGUGGCUCAAUGGGGAGUUCAAUUAUCGUCACCACACGCCUAAAAAAGGUUGCUGAUAUAAUGGGAACACUUCCACCACAUCAAUUGGCAGGGUUGUCGGAUGAACAAUGUUGGAUGCUGCUCCAAGAACGUGCAUUCGGACAAGAGAAAAAUGAAUAUCCAAACCUCGAAGCCAUUGGUAAGCAGAUUGUGAGGAAGUGUGAUGGUGUUCCUAUGGCUGCUAAGGCGCUUGGAGGUCUGUUGCGGUUUCAGAGGAAAGAGACGGAGUGGAUUUAUGUGAAAGAAAGUAAAAUAUGGGAAUUACCUGAAACUCUGAUACUGCCGGCCUUGAGAUUGAGUUAUCAUCAUCUUCCUUUAUCAUUGAGGCAAUGUUUUGCCUAUUGUGCAGUCUUUCCCAAGGAUACUCGUAUUCGAAAAAAAGAAUUGAUCUUUAUGUGGAUGGCCCAUGGAUAUAUUUCAUCAAAGGGAGCAUUGGAAGUGGAGGAUGUCGGCGAUCAAAUAUGUGAUGAGCUAGUUUUGAGAUCUCUAUUGCAAUAUGUUAUCGAUCCAAAUCAAACAACUGUCGUUAUGCAUGAUCUUGUUCAUGAUCUCGCCGAAUCAAUCAUGGAGAACAAAAUUCCCGGAAUACAAGUCCAAAGGAAAGUGACAAGUGCAUCCAAUAGCAAAAUCCGCCAGGUAAAUCUGAGAGAAAAUUUAAUUGCGUUUCCUACGAGUAAUGAAUGUGAGAUGGACAUGUCUUUCAUUUUAAAUAACUUCUUACGUUUGAGGAUAUUAGAUGCAAAUAAGACAAGGAUAAAUGAAUUGUCUUCUGCGGUAGGCAAUUUGAAACAUUUGAGACACUUGAAUUUGUCCGGAACUGAAAUUCGUACAUUGCCCGACUCAUUAUGUGGUCUCUGGAAUUUGCAUGUUUUGAAUUUGGAUGAGUGCAAAAAGCUUGAGGCUUUACCAAAGAAGAUGAGGCACUUGGUUAAUCUCCGCCAUCUAUGUCUGAAAGAUUGUAAGUCACUAACGGAGAUGCCACCUAAAAUUGGAGAACUUACUUGCCUUAAAACAUUGAGUCGGUUCAUAGUGGGUCGUGAUAGAGGUAAUGGACUCGAGGAAUUGCAGUGCUUGAACCUUGGUGGCGAGCUUGGACUUCAUCAUCUGGAGAGAGUGAAAAACCCGAUGGAUGCAAAGAAAGCAAAUCUUGCUGAGAAAAAGAACCUUCGUCAUUUGAAGUUGGACUGGGAAUUGUAUUCAAAGGAAGAGAAUAUAGAUGAAGAGGUGUUGGAAGCACUUGAACCUCCCCCAAAUCUUGAAACUCUAUUGAUAGAAGGAUUCAGGGGUACGUGUUUUCCAGUUUGGAUGUCAAAUUCGACUAUGAAGAAAGUAGUUCGAAUUGAUAUAUCAAGCUGUGAGAAUUGUAUGCAUCUUUCGCAACUGGGAAAGCUACCUCAUCUUAAGUACUUGCGUUUAAACAAUCUGGCUCGGGUGGAGUACAUUAUUGAGGAUCAAAGUGGAAAUCCAUUAACAAGUGUACAACAGUUCCCAUCUCUGGAAAGACUGGAUUUACAGUACCUCGACAAUCUCAAAGGGUUGUUAAAACAGCAAGUGAUGACGGGAUCAGCUGAAGCAUUCCCAAAUCUUGAGCAGCUAGAGAUUAUACUUUGCAAUUCAUUAAUAUUGCCACCACUCUCAUUAUCUCUUAAAAAGUUGAAGAAAUUGAAAUGCGGUAGCUUACAUCUGGCUUCAUUGUCUAAGCUGGAAGUUGUUACCGAUCUAAAUGUGAACUUCUGGAAUAGGUUUACAUGCAUUACAGUUGAGACACUGCAAAGCCUCACCAAUCUCAAGACAUUGGAGAUUUCCAAUGCAGAAGAUAUGUCUCUGCAAGAAGAAGGGAUGCGAGCAUUGAAAUCUCUAACAUAUUGUGAGAAACUGACGUGUUUACCUGAAGGGUGGUUGCGGCACCUCACUGCUCUAGAGGAACUACAAAUAAUCGAAUGCCCGGAAGUUGUAGAGCUGCCAGAGGAGGAGGUUAAAUACCUCAAAUUCCUUAAAAAAGUCAACCUCCGUGGGCUUCGAAAGAUGGUGUAUCUACCCAAGGCCUUGCAACACCUCGCAUCUUCACUCCAACGUCUAAGCCUAAACAACCUUCCUCAGUUGAGUUCACUGCCGGACUGGUUAGGCGAUUUCACAUCUCUUGAAGAGUUGACUAUUAUAAAGUGCCCAAAGGUAACAUCACUUCCAACUAGAAUCCGAGGAAUGACAAAUCUCCAAUAUCUAUGCAUCUGGAGCUGCCCGGAAUUGAAAAAGAACUGUGAGAAAGAAAAUGGGGAGGAUCGGCACAACAUACAACACAUUCCCAACCUGUUCAUUGGUUAACCAUUAUGAUUACUGUAAGUAAUUGGAAGUUUGGAUUGUUACAAAAUCAUAUGUUAUAUUUCUCGAUUGCUGUAAUGUAUGCUGAAUAAAGAUGUAUAUACAAUGUUUGCCCAGAAAGGUUUUUUUCUUCCCUCAUUUUCCCUACUCUUGUAACUGCUUUCAUCUUCUCUAUUUCCACUCUGGUUUUCCAAACUCUUCUUUUAAAAAAUUGGUUGCACAGUCAUCUUCUUUCCGUAGCAGCCCCACCACACCCAUCAAAACUCUUUAUCCAACCAACACUCCGCCGCCGCACCACCACCACCUCCACCUCCACCCACCCAAAUAUGAAAUGGGUUCCCAAAAAUUCUCCGGCGACGAUCGCGAAAAUGGGCUAAUCAGAUUGUCUCUUUCUUUGAAUGCAAAAAUCCCAUAAAUUUGUCAGUUCAUUUUUCUGUUGAUGUCGGCGAGUAAAGUGGCGGUGGUUUUGCAGAGGACGUGGUGGAGGAUGUUGCUUUUGGGGGUGGGGUGAAGAAGAGGUGAUGGACUGAAGUGAAAAUUUUAUAAACUUCAUUUCGGUCUUUUCAAAUUAAUUGGGGGAAUCUGUAAUUUUUAAAAUAUAUGAUAAAGGAUAUUUUUGUCUUUUUACGAAAACUAUGAAAUUUACCCACAUUGGGACAACUUUGCAAGUACAAGGGGUUAAACGAUCCAAUCGAGAGUUCAAGGGGGUAAAGUGACUUCAUACCAGAGGAUAUUACCCAUGUGUAAUAUCUAAUUGCUGAAAAACAUUCGUGAUAAAAAUAUUAGCUAAAACUCCCCAAUAAAAAUUAGUCAAAGCCAUUAAGGCCCCUACGAGUUGAAUGUGUGUGCACGUGCAGAUUUUGCGAGACUUGGGUUAUGUUUUUUUUUUAUCUGAAAAGACUAAAAUACCCUUUAAAACACAUAUUUAGAAAAUUAUAAAUUCAUCUUAUAAUUUUCGUAAGACCAAAAUAAAAGUUUCAUAAUUUUCUUUUAUAUUUAAUAUAAAAAUAUAUUUCAUUAUUUAAAUUAAAUUUUUUUUUUAGAAAAUUAUUAAAGGUAAUUUUGUCAUUUCAUUUAAGUGAAAAACCAAAUUUAAUGUAAAGAGUUGUUUGCUUUGUAAAACGUAACAUAGGGUGGUUAUUGUUAAUUUUUUUAACAUGAAAGUGUUUUCGACAAUUAGAAAUUACGCAGGGAUUCUCUUAUAAUAACUCAAAAAGAAAAAGUAGUGUGCUAAAACAUCAAUAUUUUCUUGCUAUUUCUAAUACCACAAUAAGUUGGUUUGUGUUUGGAAGGAAAGCCCAUGUACAAAAAAAAUUGUGGCAUUGGGCCAAUGUUUCGAGCAUAAGAGGAUAUAGUCAUACAAUUCCAAUUAGUGUUUUGAAACCCAAAUCGAAUCGAUCGGUUAAACCGCAAAUCGUUGUCUUGUCCGGUUUUGUUUGAUCGGUUGGACCGUAACAUCGGAACCCGAGUGAAAAUCAGGGUCCAUGUAAACAAAAGUGAAAUUUAACCAAAAAAACAAAAAACAAAAAAGAAAAAAACAAAUAAAUCCUGUGCGGCGCUUGUGAUUAUUAAAAAUUAUUGUUGAGAUUUACAAUAAUUGAAAAAUAAAGAAAACGAUCAAAUUCCCAAAAUACUUGAAACUCAAACAGCCGCACUCUUCUCCAAAGCGCGUAGCUUACACGAAAUGUCACGCAAAUCAACUCUGCAAGAAGGAUUCUCCCACUGCACAACUUCUUUAACCGCCUUCUCAAUCUCUCUCGUCUCUUUCAAAAUCCCAUGCAUGCAGAAAACAACCGAACUCAAACUCAAUAUCACCUGAUUCUUCAGCAGAUAGUCUUCCCCUAUACACCCAACAAGCCCAUCCAAAUUCUCGAGAAACGAAUCGACGCUCUUCUUGAUCUCGUCGUCGCUCGCUUCCGUCCACUGCAUCGCGUACCGCCUCCCCGAUUUCCCCAUCUCGAGAUCGACCGCGCUUUUCCGCUUCCCGUACUCCUUCUCGAUUGCCGCGAUCGAAUUUACCAAACUAACCUCCUCGAAGCACUUGAUCCCCGAGCAAACCGCGUCUUUGAGCAUGUUGAGAUCGCUCUCCAUUUUCGCUGCGGCCACUUUCCAUACCCCGCCGUCGAUUGCUUUCGACUCGUUUUCGAGGAAUUUAAGCGCGCAGCUCCCGAAAAGCAAUAGAUCCACCGUCUUCGAAAGCGACGCCUUUAACUUACUAUAUCCACCACUAUGGAAAGGCAAGAACCAGAAGUUGGGCUCCACGUCAGCUUCCUCGAUGAAUUUCCCGAGCUCGCUCACUUCGAAUUUCAGCUUCUUCGUCGUUUCUUCGAAGCUGAAUUUAUUCGAGAAGCUGAGAUCGACGAAGCCGACAGAAUCGUGCAACGCCUUGAGGCUCUUCGUGAGCUGGACUUUCGCCAAAACCGAAGCCCUCGUAGGCUGCAAGAGAAUAUCCACCAUAAUCGAACAAGUUAACCCGAUGAACGUUUCCACGAUCCUGGCGAUAGCGAAAUCGCUCGGCGUGCCGAAAUUCUUCCUCCCCAAAAUCAGCACCGCACCGAUCACCGCGGAAACUCCGCCAGCCUGGCCGUACAUUUUGCUCUGCCGCAAGAAGCUGCAGAAAAUAAACCACGGGAAGAGAGAAACGAUUCUGAUUUUGACGUAUUUCUCGAAAACGAAGCAGCCUAUUACUCCGUACACAGUUCCGAUAACCGUGCCUUGUGCUUUGAUGUUCGCCACUUUGAACGUUGCCUCCCUCGAUGCCGCCAGGCUUAUCGCUACCGGCAGGCCGGACCAGAACCCGUCUUCCUUGCUAUAUAUCGAUCCGAAAAAGACCGCAAACCCUAACGAAAGCGCGCAUUUUAGAGCGGGCAUUAGUCUUUUUUUGUUAAUGGUGAUCGGGUUGUAAUUACUCCAUGAUUCUUUCUUUUUCGGGGAGUUAAUAUUAUUCGGUGCUUGUGACGAUUUUGUUUGGAGGAGUUUGAGGCAGAAAAUGAAGAACAAAGAAGGCAAAUCUUUGAAGCUAAUCGACGGGAUUAUCGUGUUCGCGUGAAGUGUUUGGAGGAACUUGUUAUUAUUGCCCUUUAAUUCUGCUUCUUCGUUCGAGUUUUUCGGCGACAUGCUUUUGACUUGGUUCAAUAUUUGCUCCUCUAAACCAAUUAAAUCUUUUUUGAGCUCGGAAUUCAGUAGCCCGACUUGAAACUCGGAGCAGUUUUCGAGACCGUUCUCCAUUCCUCUCAAGAUUGUUUCGAGCCCUUGUAACGUUUCCCCUGGAUUCUCGUCGUGUGAUUUGAAAAACCUCGUCGGUAUUAUUUCCCACUUCAUGCUUUCCUGCGGAAAGAAUUUUCGAUCUUCGAUUAGUAUAAGAGUGUAUGUAAUAUUUAACUAAUUAACCGAUGAAUAUGUAACGAAAAAGAUCGAUGCGUAAAUUCGCUUACUUGUUUCGAUUUAAUGCUGUGGAGAAGUUUAUUUCCUGUUUUGUUCAAAGACUUGGCUUGUGAGAUUAAGGCCUUGGGUGAUGACUUGUCUUCUGCUGAGAAGGCCUUCACAAAUAGCUUUAGUCUUUCUGAUGCAUUUUCUAUGUACAAUUUGCAAUUUUCUCUCACCUGAAAUUGAUGAGGGAUAAAAAUGUCAAUUUACAUUUUCGAUUCAAGAGAGGGCCUACUAGGGUUUUAUAUAUAUAUAUAUACAUGCAAACUCCAUGCAGCACUAGAAGUUGUCCAUGCAAGUUGGUUUGAUUAGUUAUAUAUAUAUAUUAUAUAUACAUACCUCACAAAAGGCCAAGCUAGGAUAAGGCAACAACAAGGCCAAAACACAAGCCGCCACCCCAAGUGCGGUGCUCGCCGCGACACGAAUCGGGUGCAUAAUGGGCUCCGUCUCCGCCCCGUUGAUAAAAGCGAUAACGUACACGAUCACAAUCUGCCCGAGCGCGAUGCGCUUCGAUAUCAAGUGGGUGUUCUCCGGCAGAGCCACCACGAAGCCGCUGAUCGCCACCACCACGGACGUGGUGGUGGCGGUCAGACGCUCCGGCCCGAUCAGCCACAGGCUGAGGAUGGCCGGGCAGACGCCCUGCACGGUGGCAUACACCGCCAUCCAGCAACCGCGCAGGGUGUCCCCUAGAGUCGCGUCCGUGACUAUGAGAACCACCGUCACGUACGAAAAGGCCGGGAACGCCACCUGGCGGUUGAAGGCCUUCGGGCCGAAGAGGGUGGCUAGGCCCACUAUGGUGCAUGCCAGGGAGGUACGGAAGGCCGAGCCGAGGCACCGCCGCCACAUGGCUCUUGCUCGGUCGUCGGAUUGGAUUUGUGAAGUGGUCGCCAUUUUUUUUUUCUUCUUUUUGGCUAAUUAUUUUCUUCAAGUGUUGGAAAAAAAAUGGGGAUGUAAUAUCUUGGAGGAGAGAUGAAUUAAGGGGGGUUUUGUAAAGGAGAGAGAUUUGGUUGUUUGUGAUCUUUGAUGAUGACAAAGGGUCAAUUUUGGACGUGGCGAAAGUUCUAAAAAAACAACAUAUUUUAGUGCGAGAAGUUCGUUAAAGCAGAUGUUUUCUUUCUUUUUUUUUUUAGCUUUUUUGCAUCUGGGAUUUUCAUGGAAUUUGAUAUACAUAUGUUAGUGCGCUUAUAUUAGCUUAUGUAAGCAUAUGUAUAUAUAGACUAUAGUAUUAAUACCAUAAAGCUUAGUCAUGGAUUUCUUUGGUGGAAGCAUGUGUGUGUGUCUCGGUAUGUGCAAUUAUACAGGGUAAAUUACGGCCACAUCUGAGGUAAGGUUAAACUAUGAAAAUACCCUUUUGUUUGGGUAAUUACAAUCACUGCAUCAACUAUGAAUCUUCUUAUAUACGUUCACUCGAUCUUAUGGUGUCAAAUUCAACAUAAUCUUAUGGAUUCCGUGAAAUGUUCUCUAGUGUGUACUCGUUUUGUGGAAAAAUUCAGUUUCUGAUGGACUACAAUUUGAUAUUUACAAGCUAAAAAAACGCAUCUUAUGAUUAUCUUGUUUUAUAAUGUGGAGCUCGAAUGGGGUAACAUGGGUACAAACUGAUGAAUAUUCCACGUAAUCUAGAAAAUUUCACUAAAUUUGACACUGCACGGAUGGACGUGUAAAAAGAUCAUAGUUGAGGGAGGUGGUUGUAAUUAUCCAAAAUGAGGUGAUUUUUCGUAUACCUCCGUAAUUUACCUUAUAUUUUGAUACUUUUACUAUAAUCCUUUAUAUAUGCAAGCAUAUGUGUACCAUAAAGCUUAGACGUGGAUUUCUUUGGUGGAAGCAUGUGCGUUUCAUAAUCACUGGUGAUUCUACCUAAGGGUUAGCCCACCCUAUUCCAAUUCUUUGGAUACAUACUACAUGUUAGUUAAUUUACCUAACCAUCCAAUUUAUACUAUAUACUUAGCCUAUUUCUAUACAUAACUAUAGUUGAAGCCUAUAAAAUGCUUUAAAAUUUGACAAAAAUACGCCAAAAUUUAAUAGACUACAUAAUUUUAGUUGAAACCUAUGAAAAUGCAUUAAACUUCGACACGAAUACACCAAAUUUCAGACGACAUAGUCUCAAAGAAAUCGAUUAGGAAAUUUUCUUUUCCAACAUUAGUAUUCUAAAUAUAAGGGUACGUACAAAUGUGAAAUCCCUCGUCUUUAAGAUAUUUUUUGUUUCGAGUACUUGCAUUAAUUUUAUAACCGCAAAGUUUUCUUCUUUCUUUUUUGAAUCACUUUAAUUAUACCCUUUGUCUCUACAAUUUUUUUCUUUUUUGAAAUAUAUUUAGGAAGUCAUUAGUGGCACCAUUAGCUUGUUGAUGACUGGUUACUAAGAAAUUAUAGUUUUCUAUCUUGUUUAUAGAAAAACUAAAUUUUAUGUAAAUACUCGUUUAAAUCAAAGAAUUCUUGUUAACGCAUUUAAAAUAUUUACUUAUAUAUACACUUUUAUUUUCAUAUAUGUUAAUACGUCUAAAAAUAGUUCGGGGGAUUUUUACUUAGAUUUUCACUUCCGGAAAAGUUUGGAUUUUUUUCUUCAAAAGAUACUAAUUCAGAUCUGAUCCGUCCGAAUUUUAUCCCUAAUAUUCGUACGUAAUUAACCAGAAUUCUCCUAUCAAAAAAGAGUCAAAAGAGGGUGGAGAAUGUAUUUACAAUAUAUAUAUUAAUUUUCUCAUCUACCCACUUUUUCUUGGAGUAGUAACUAAAUAAAUAAAUAAAUAUAAUAUGAAAAAGGAAGAGAGGAGGAUUUCCAGGCAAAACAUGCAGCAGUUCUUUUCUGACCUUACAUUGUGGGAUCCCACGCCAUAAAGUGUGUGUGUGUGUGUGUGUUUGUGUGUGUGAAAUUGUUUAUACAUAUAUUGCACAAAGCAAAAUCUUGGUUGGAUGGCUUUGGAUUAUAUAAUAUAUUAUAUAAUACGAACUCCAAUCUAAUGUUUGUCAUUAGGCCUAAUUAAAUUAAGUAAGAUAAUUAAGAAAAGUAAAGUUUGUACUACUGCUCUUUGUUUCUUUUGUAUAAAGGUUUGAAUUUGGAGCAAUGAGGAGAUAGUAAUAAUCUAAUUCAUAAUUAGUUGGAUUAAGGUUGUCUGAAUAAUUACACCUAAUUCCUAAAUCUUAUAUAGAUUUGUAUCAAGGAAGUACUUAAUUUGGUUAAAGUUGGUAAAGUGGCUGCAAAAGAUCAGUCUUUUGGGUGAAAGCAAUGAAAUGAAAUGAUAAUUGCACAUGUUGAAAAUAUUGGAGAUGAACACUAGCUAGUAGGUGAAAGAAAAAUGAAACUUAAAAAAUAUUCAAGAAAUUUGAAUAAUAACUCUUUUCGUGUCAAAAAAUUUGUCGCUUUGGAAUUUACACAUAUAUUAAGAAAAUGGGGAGUUAGAUGCUACAUCUAAUUAUUUAGACCGAGUGAAUUUGAAUCGUGGAUUUGAUUAGAUAACGGGAAAAUUACAGUUUUCAUCCCUCAAGUUUGCAACGAUUUAACAUUUGGUCCCCCAUGUUCACAAAAAACACAUUUGGUCCCUUAUGUUUCCAAAAUUCAAUACUUUUAGUCAUUUCCGUCAAGAUCCCGUCAAGUCAUUACGGAAUCAAGCGUGUGCCCAUCACUGCCUUAACUAACGGAUUAACGGUAAAUUGACGGAAAUGACCAAAAAUAUUAAAUUAUUUGAACAUGAGGGACCAAAUGUGUUUUUUGCAGAUAUGAAGGACCAAAUGUGAAAUCGGUGCAAAUUUGAGGGAUUAAAACUUUACUUUUCUCAUUAGAUAACUACUCACUAAGCACAUAUACACACACGUGUAUGUGAAAUUUUGUGUAGAUUUAAUGUUUAAAUCCAUGAAGUGUAAAUAAUCAGGUAUAACAUUUAAUUCUCUUAAGAAAACUAGUAACAUGCAGAAAAAUAAUAUUUUGAAGGAACAAGAUACAACAAAAUAACAUUUAAAGGGGCAAUGUGCAACCAAAACACUCAAUUCCAGUGAAAAAUCCAUUGAAAUUUUGCUAUCGGAGCAAUGUGCAACAAAAAUAACAUUAUGAAGGGGGUAUUUACAUUUCCAAAUUUUGAGAGGUAAAGUGCACAAAUUAAAAAUUUAUAGGGGGUGACAUGCAAAUUACACUUAAAUAAAUGAAAUGAAAUAGGGAAAUAGGAAAAAAAAAAAACAAAAUAAAGGUAGUGGUGACCCUCUCUUAAAUGAAUUCCCCCUAUGUCACACUCCAUUUUCUAGCACAAACGCGACACUAAAAAAGAAGAAAAAAAAAUGUUUGAGAAAUUGAUGAUUAAUCGUGAUUGUGAUGUAUGCAAAUUAGGAUACCCCAAAAAAUCACGAUGUGUUGAAAAUUGUACCAUCGUCACUUACUUUUGAGUGCAUCUCAUCAUCCCAUCACCGUACCUAAUUUGAUGUGGAUCCAACUUAUUAUUUUCACAAAAAAAAAAAAUUAAAAAAAAUAUAGAUGUAUAAAGGCAAAUUGCACUUGACCCCCUCAAAAGAAUCAUUUUUUGCACUUUCUCGGCUCAAAAAAAAAAUGAGAUUGUCUGCCUUCGAAAUAGGACAAAAUGCACUUUGCCCCCAAUAAAUUUCUGUUUUUCGCACUUUCCCCCCUAAAACUAAAAAAAAUGGAUAUUCCACCUUCGAAAUAUUAUAUUGAUUGCACUUUGGCCUAUAAGCCAAUUUUUUUAGGGCAUUGUGCAACAAAAAUAACAUUUUAAAGGGGCAAUGUGCAAAAAAUAAUGUUUUAAGGGGCAACUUGCAAUAAAAAUAACAUUGAAAUGGACAACGUGCAACAAAAAUACUCAAUUCUGAUGAAUAAUCCAUCGGAAUUUUACUAUCGGAGCAAUGUGUAAUAAGAAUAAUAUUUUGAAGGGGGGCAUUCACUUUUAAAAAUUUUGAGAGGGUAAAGUGUGAGAUUAAAAAUUUACAGGGGGUGAUGUGCAAUUUUCCCUUCGAAAUAUACGACUCGGUGCACUUUGCCCAAAUGUGUAUUUCCGGUCUAAUUUUCGCCAAAUUAAAGGUGGAUAUGUCAUUUUACCUUUUCAGCUUGAAAAUCCUCCAAAUUAACAAAAUUAUCUUCCCAAUUUGAUGAAAUUGGCUUCGAAAUUAGAAAAAAAUUAUCUUCCCAAUUCAAUAAAAUUUAUUAUUUGUUCUUCAUAAUCAUCGUAAGAUGGGGUGAAAGAUGUUAAACGACAUUUAAAGUCUUAAAAGACGAAAUUGCCCUUCCAAUUAACUCAAAUCCGACAGGAAUUAGACCGGAAAUACAUAUUUGGUGCAAAAUGCACCGAGUUAUAUAUUUCGAAGGGGGGCAAUCUCGCUUUUGUAAUUUAAGAGGGGAAAGUGCAAAAAUGAUUAUUUUGAGGGGGCAAAGUGCAAUUUUCCCUAUUUUUAGUAUUAUGACAAAUUACGGUCACCUAUCUGAAGUAAAGUUAAAUUACACAAAAAAAUCCUAUUGUUUGGAUAAUUACAAUCGCACCCUUCAACUAUUCAUUCUUAUACGUCUACUUUUACGGUGUCAGAUUUACCUAAUUUAAAAGUGUUUUUUUCGUAAGACGAUACAUAGUUGAAGAGUGACUGUAAUUAUUCAAACACGAGAGGUUUUUUCGUAAUUUAAUCAUAUUUCAGGGAUGGCCGUGAUCUGCCCUUAAUAUUAUUAUGUUGUCCUCCACAAUUGCUGUGAUGGGACAACUAAAUUUUGAGUUGCAAAUGAGUUUGUUUGUCUGAUGAUGUCAUGAUCUGUGUAUUUGUUCGAACCUCGAAAGGUCACAAAACGUUUUUCUGCAAGAAAAUAAAAAUCUGAAAAGAAAUUGAAGUGGAGCCAUUUGAAUAUUCAUGACAAGAUUGAUCCACACACUGGGGCUGUGUGUGUGUGUGUGUGUUUUAACCAGUAAUUGCAAUCAACAUAAUUGUUUUAUUUUAUUUUAUUUUGGGAGCCACAAGUAUAUCCAAAGUGGGUUCUGAUUCAGAUUCUUGCAUUCAAGAAACUUGUGGCUGAUUGGCAGCCAAAGGAUAAGGAGUUUAGUAAAAAUUGGAAUAAAUAUAAAAUGUAGUAUGUAUGAAAAUUAGGUUCUUACUUAGGUGUCAGUGUUUGCAAAAGCUCGUUUAAAAAUAAAAGUUAAAAAAUAAAAGUUAAUGAUUGUAAGUUAUAUUGGGAUUAAGCGUUUUUUUAAGAGUUGGGGUGUUCGCAAAUUUAGUUGGGAAAUCAACUUAAAUAGAUCAGAUACAUCGUUGCUUUUUCAAGUUAUAGUUGAAAAAACAGAUUAUGUAAAUCAAAAAACUCAUAAUCUGUUUCUAAAAGUUUUUGCAAAUGCCACCUUAAAAGACAUGAUCGAUUUUGGACGGCGAGAACUUGUUUUGGUCUCAUACAUUUACUUCUGACUACUCAUGCAAUAACAUUUUGAUUAUGGGUGAAAAUUCUAAUAUAAAUUUGAAUUCCACAAACUCCUAUUUGGAAAUUUUCGAUUUCUGAACAUUGCUUACUAUUCUAGAUUUAUUCUGAUUUCCCAAUUUUUUUUUUUUUUUACUUUUUAUUUUUGUAUCAGAAUUGGCGUAUAUAUGAGAUUCCAUAAUGUCGAUCGACAUUAUUAUUUAUUUUGCAUUGUAGGAAUAUUAUUAAAUUUACAACUGAUUAAUUUACAUUUUUCAUAGGACGGAUUGGAUCGGAAUUAACAUUUUAUGUCAGAAGUGAAAAAUUAAUUCUAAUUUCGUUCGAACAAAUUCCAGAAAAUCGGAAAACAAAAUUUUGGAAAUAUGAAUAAAAGAUUUUUUCUAAAAUUUGAAAUUUUCAAAUCUAAAUCGUCGAAAUUCACAAAUUUUAUUUUUCAUUCACCAAUAAAAAAUAGUACAUAAUAAAAUUAUAACUAUAAAUGUACUUUAUGGAAACAAAUCGGAAUUUUAGAAAAUUAAAAUUGAAUUGGUAACCCGAAAUAAAUCAAAAAUUAGCACAAACCCGCUUAUGAAAAUUAGUCAAAGGCAGUAAGGACCCUGCGAGCCCGAAGUCGUAUACACUCGCGGUUUGUGUGACUAGGCUUGUAUUUUAGGACUUGAAAAGACCCUAGUACCCUUUAUAUUAGAAAUUUUAAAAUUCACAAAUUCACCCCAAAAUUUUCAUAUACCCGAAAUGAAGUUUUCAAUGUUUCUAAAUUCAGACCCUAGUACUUUCAGAAAUGCCUCUUCAAACUCAAGAUUCAGCCUUUUUUCUUUCCGGCCCCAAAAAAAUCGUCUUCGCCACACCAUUUCAGAAGAUUUGGACCAUAAAUAACUCAACCCGCAUCUGCAGUUAUACAAAUUAUCCAUAUUAUCACGAAUCGCAAUACACCGCACUAAAACGAAUUUUUUUAAUUAGUUUUCCAAAUGAAGAAGUUUGUUUGGGGUGGGGAGGCGGAUGUGCUGCUGGUGCGGCGACAGAGGUCUGUGGAGGGGGGUUGCGUUGGGGGUGGGUGGAGAAGGUGUUUUGGGUUUAUUUGGGAAGAUGGCUUUUUAGAAAAUAUUGGGGAUUGAAUUGAAAAUUUUGAGAACUUCAUUUUGGGCCUUAUUAAAAUUAUUGGGUGAAUUUAUAAUUUGUUAAAGGAUAUUUGAGGGGAAAAUUACAUUUUAUGUCCCUAAACUAUACCACUAAAAUGAUUUUUGUCCUCAAACUUUUACAUCCACGAAAUAUAUCCUCAAACUUGCCACUUUUGACAAUUUGUGUUCGGCCGUUAACUUCGGCAGUCAGGUUAAAUGGAAUGUCACAUGUGGCACCCGUGAUAUCGACCUGGCUGUUAAGAUUGAUCUGGCUUACACCCUACAUCGAUUUCGCCGAUUAAAUAUGACGUGGAGUGACACAUCAUUCUCUCCCCCUAUUUCAAUUAUGAAAUCCUUAAUUUCUAAUUACGUACCCCAAUUCACUGAACCUGAACCUGAUCAGAUAAACCCUAAUUCCUCGUAGAAAUCCUCAAAUUGAGGUGAAAUUCGGCAUCAACAAGAUCGCCUAAUCCUAAUUUCGCAAAUAAUUGAACAUUAAUGGAAAGGAAGCAUCACAAAUCGACCAACAAUCUCCAAUUUUAGUAAGUUUCUUCAAAGUUCUUAUCUUUGAACUUAGGUUUUGGGAAUUUGGGACUUGUUAUGGGUUUAUGACUUUGAACUCCGUAUGAUUUCGAACAACUUUGAAGACCUGAUUGUAAAUUUGGGAGUGUGUUUACGGGAAUGAAAGAAGUUUCCAGGUUUGAUGGCUAGGGUUUCAGGUGUGAAGAGUGAAGUGAAAACUGGGGAUCUGGGAAAUUUUGGAAUUAGGUUUACAUCAACUGAUUUGUGUGCCUGCUCAACAUUUGACGGCCACGUGCGCCCCACGUGACAAUUUGACUGACGAAUUUAACGGCGGAACACAAACUGUUAAAAAGUGGCAAGUUUGAGGACAUAUUUCGUGAAUGCAAAAGUUUGGGGACAAAAAGUAUUUUAGUGGUAAAAUUUAGGGACAUAAAAUGCAAUUUUCCCGAUAUUUGAGUAUUUUCGCGUCAAAAAAGACACAUCCAUUCGCACAUUUCACGCGUGCUACACACGUUCGCCUCCCAAGGUACCUUAUUGCCUUUGACUAAUUUUAAUAGGGGGUCUUUGCUAAUUUUUUUAACAUAACGGUUUUUUUAGGAAUUCGAGAUUCCACAAGGGUGGUUUUUUCAAAAAAACUUAUGUUCUCAUUAUGUUUAUUUAAAAAUACAAAUAUUAAGGAUAGUUCAGUCAUUUCGUGGAAAUCAACGACCAAUUUCGAAAAAAGAGACAGUGUGCUUUGUAAAUCAUAACAUAGGGGGUUCUUUGCUAAUUUUUUAACAUGAAUGUUUUUCCAGCAAUUCAAAAUUACACAAGGGUUCUGUGCAAUUAAAUCAACUAUAUAUAUCUGGUUCCGUGCGAUGAUUAGGAUUCUUCUUUAUAUAAUUAGCCCAUUUUCUACAAUGACCAGAGUCCUUUAAUUGUUCGUAAAAGAAACAAAGGAAUUAGGGAAUAGAUAAAUGAUCUGACUUCUUCGGUUCAAAUUUCGAAAAAAACGGUUGAUCGGAAUAUUUAAAUAGUUAACCAUAGAUUUAAGAAUGAUUACAUAACUGAGAACUUGUAUUUCAUCAUGUGCAGAUGAGAUGAGUGGAGUGGGGAGGAAUGCAAUCGUAUAAACGUGAAUACCCGCAGUCACACUUACUAUUCGAGGAGAUGUAAAUCGAAUUUAACAAAAUUCGAUUCUCUUCUAGAUGAAUUGGUGUUCGCGAUUUUUCUACUUCUCUCAUCUAUAUAUAUUUGUAAGAGAUUUUAACAUGUAGCACCCGGUGUAAUCUCUAAUGGCUAAAAAUGCCCCUAUAUCAAAACAAUUAGCACAUUCCCCCAUGUGCAUAGUCAACGCCAUUAAGGCCCCUACGAUAUUGUGUGAUACACUCACCAAAUAUGCAACUGGGAUUUGAUUUUUUUGAAGUGAAAAGACCCAAAUAUUGUACAUUUAAAAAACAAGCCCCAAAUAAAGUUUUUAAUUUUUUCAAUUCAGUCCCUUAAAGUUUCAGAAAGACCCUCUUCUUCCUUAAGUCAGGGUUUGAUUUGCAACUUUCCAAAAAUACACUGAAUAUAGCUUACCGCCGCUCUUUUUCCGGCAAACACUCUCUCCGGCCUCACCUCCCUCCAUAUCCUCAGCCUCCGCUUUCCCCCACCACUCCAACAUUUUCUCCAACGAAAUUAGGUUCGGUUUGGAGUUAAGAUUCAAGCUCCUUAUUCUUCUGAAAAAUCCAUCACCAACCUGUGAAAAUCCAAGAAAAUAUUUGCCCCAUCGAAAACAAAGCUUUUUAGAGAAAAAAAUCUACGAAAAAAACUAUUUUUUGCAUUUUUUUACGUCUUCUACGACGUCUCCUAAUAGUAGACCACCACCAUUAUGCAAGGUACCUGAUGCCUCCGGAUCCAAACCUCCCCGUUAUUUUUCUUCUUUUUAUCGUCUUCUCCGACGAUGGUGGCAAUUAGGGCUUUGGAGGUGGUGGCGAUUAGAGCUUUGGCUAGAGUUUAGUAAUUUUGUUAAGCUAGCUAAGAUUCUAAAAUUUGCAAAAGAAGAAUCGGCUGGUGUGGAAUUGGCUAGGAGAAGUUGGCGGUGGAGGGGACGAGAAGUGCAGAGAAGGUGGGUGGUGGAAGGGAGGGGCGGCGGCUUGACGAGGUGAUUGCCGGUGAUGGCGGUGGGAGUUUGCCGAUGGUCGUGACAAUUUCAAAGGGGAAUAAGAAUUUUGGGGAAAGGCGCAAUUUUCUCUCUCUUGUCUUUUCUUUUUCAUUUUUUUAAUAAAAAAAUGUGUUUUAUUUCUUAAUUUAAGAAAUUUUAAAAAUUGCAAUUUGAACCAACGUUUAUGCAUUAAUUAAACUUAAAUUCAAUUCGAUUUUAUGUUUGGAAAAAUUACAAUUCAGUCCCCUAAUAUAAGUUUCAAAAGUUUAGUAAAAUUGCAAUUUGGCCUCUAUUAUAAAGCCCAAUCAUUUUUUUAUGUGGUUCUCCGGUCAAACUGUAGUCUGAACUCUGAACAAACUCAACAGAACAUAACAGAAAGAAAGAGAGAGCGCGCGAGAGAGAGAUUAAAAAUUUUUUACAUCAUUUUUCAAUUUGAUUCUCCGGCGCCGGCGCCGGCGCCGCCGCAGUCAUUGCUGUGAUCCCUGUCUGAACAUCGUUCCGACUCUGAUGGCAAUUAAAGAAGAAGGAAACUCGGAGGUACUGUACUAUCUCUUUUAUAUCCAUUUUUUUUCUUGCGAUCGAAUUCGAGGCAAGAAUCAUUCUUAAACCCUAAUUGCAUUUCGAUCCUCCUUCUUUAUUUAAAUUCCCCCUUUUUUUUCUGCAAUAGUCAGAUUCCUUCUUCAUUUAAUAUUGUUCGUAAAAUCAAAAUGAUGAAAUGUUUGAUCGAAUUGUAUUUCACCAUGUGCAGAUGAAUUGGGGAAAAUGCAAUAGUGUAUACACGAAUACCCGUACUCGACCAUACUAUUCGAGGAGAUGUAAAUCGAGUUUAACGAAAUUCGAUUCUCUUCCAGACGAAUUAGUUUUCGAGAUUCUUCUACUUCUCUCGCCUAAAGAUAUCCACAACGGGGCGAGGCUCGUUUGCAAGAAAUGGUACGAAACAGUCCACACCCGUAUUUUCAGAUACGAACACAUUCACCGUUCGACCGUCGGAAUCCUCAUCCUGAAAUCUUACUGCGAGUACCCCUUUUUCGUGGCGAUGCGUGAAGGCAGAGUCGAGGUAUCUAAAUUGAGGUACAAGUUCGGAAUCGAAUCAACUGUUUGGAGUAGUUGCAACGGUUUGAUACUCGACUUCGAUUCGAAGAAGCGUAAAGCGCUUUAUACUUUAAACCCUGCAACCAAACGUCGAUUCUAUCUCCCUCAAUUUCCUAGUCAAUGGGAAGACCACAAUUACUAUUAUUCCGGUAUAGCGUAUGCCGAGGCGUCGAUGGAGUAUAAAGUCGUUCGCACGUAUUACAGUUGCAGUAAACGAAACUGCGUUAUUUUGACCGUCGGAGUCGACGAGUCUUGGAGGAGUGUCGAUGCAGAACACUUGUCGGACGCAGCUAGAAAAUCUCUGAGAGAUAUUCCGUUAACUACCGAUGGUUUUGUUCAUUGGUUUGGCAGAAACGAUGUCGUAACUUUGAACGUAGAGACUGAAUUUCUCACCGAGAAUGCCGUUCCUCGAGGCUAUGGAGAAGGAUUGAAGUAUUAUUUGUCGAUGGGGAGUUCUUUGACUUCGGUCGUUGCUUGCAGUGAAUAUUCGUGGGAGGUUUUCGAGUUGAUACUAGAAACCGGAGAAUGGAGAAAGAUGUACACGAUUGACUUGGCGCGACAAAGAUGCAAAAUCGAACGGUUUGUCGGUGAAUGCUGUGGCACGCUCGUACGACCGAGUAACGUUGUCCUCAAACCAAGGGGUUGGUUAAACGAAGAGGUGUUGGUUUUUCAUGUAUAUCCGUCUCGGGUUUGCGUUCUCUACGGUGUCUGUACACGAGAAACUGACUUCUUUGAGUUAGAUUCCGAUUCGUAUUAUUACUGCUUUGAAGUUCAUAGGAACAGAUUCUGAUUCUGAUUGCUUCGUGAAUUUUUCCGUCGUAGGUUUUGAUCACACUGUAGCUAACGAUGAUUAGUGAUAUAAAUAGAAUUUUGGUGUGCUUGACAAGCAUUUGUCUGCAGGUUUCUCUUUGAAUAUUCUUGCUGACCUGGAUUUUGAUUCGGAUUUUACAUUGCGUAGACUAAUUACGAUUUCGGCACAACCAAUUCAAGAAAAUGUAAAAAUCGGAACUUUGGAAAUGAAAAUGAAAAUGUUCGUUCCCAAACUAGAAAUUUCUCCGAUCCAAAUCAUCAAAAUUCAGAGAUUCUAUUUUUUUCACCUAUAAUAAAAGCACAUAUUAAAAUUAUAAUUAUAAGUGAACUUUUUGGAAACAAAUCGAAAUUUAUGAAAAUAAAAAUUGCAUUGAAAAUCGGAAAUUGGUAAUCAAAAAUUUUGGAAAUUUUUUAAAACGAAAGAUUUUGGAUCAAAAUCGACGAAAAUCGCUGAUUUCGUUCCAUACUAAGAUAUUCAGCCUAUAUGGGCUUAAAGAUAAAUCGGAAACAAGGUCGAAUAUUUUGAGCUUCAGGCUCUUUCCUGUAUCAAACCGAAAAAAAAAGUUCGAAUAUUUUGCAAGAUCUCAACUUUAAGCUUUUUUCCUGGAACCCAUAAAAGCCCAAAAAUUCCAUUAAAAUGCUCAGAGUAUACACUGUAAUUUAAUUUCAGAAAACUUCCUAGAAAACUCCCAAAAUUUGAAUGUCCUAAAAAUUGCACGUUACCCCAUAUAAAUAACUAAUUUUCGCACUUUACCCCCUCGAAAUUUGGAAAUGUAAAUGUCCCCCUUCAAAAUGUUAUUCUUGUUGCACACUGGAAUUGCAUAUAUUUGUUGCACGUUGCCCCUUUAGAUGUUAUUUUUGAUAUAGCUUGCCCCUUAAAACCAUUAUUUUUCUGCACAUUGCAUCUUUAAAAUGUUACUUUUAUUGCACAAGGGCAAGGCCCAGCAAAAGUUUGUUUUUGGGGCAAAGUGCAACCAAAAUAAUAUUUUAAAGGGGGUUAUCCAUUAUUUUAAUUUUUAAGGGGAAAGUGCAAAAAUAAAAAUAAAAAAUUAUAGGGGGUGAUGUGCAAUUUUGUCCUUAUUUUGAAGCCGAGUCACUUUUUUGUGCGGCACUUCAGUCAAACCCUAAAGAAUUUGUUUUACAUAAUUUUACAUUGCGAUUAAUUUCCAGCCGCCGCGUCGGUCGACGCCACCACCACCACCGCCACCACCGCCGUUAACAUCUCCGGUUCUGAUGACAAAUAAAAAAAGAAACUCGGAGGUAUACAUAUUAUAUCCUUUUUACUUGAGAAUUACAAUUUGAUUUUCCGUUUUGUGCUCCAAAUAUUAAUCAAUGGCAUACUCGUAAAACUAGGUUUACUAAUUUGCCUAAUUUCCUGCAUGUAGAGACCAAAUUUCGUGCUUCAAUUCAAUCCAGAUAAAUUUCUCAAUAAAUAAACAAUCCGAUUUCUUCUGUUAAUACAGUUUACUAUAUUUGCAAAUUAGGGUUUGUAUUUCAUGUGCAUGCAGAUGAGUGGAAGCACAUUGAGUUGCGGGUAUGCGAAUUUCGGUAAUCGUCCGUAUUAUCCGAGGAGAUGUAAAGAUCGGAAGAGUUUUUCGACAAAUAUAGAGUCUCUUCCCGAAGAACUGUUGUUCGAGAUUCUUCUACUACUCUCAUCCAAAGAUAUCCACAAUGGGGCAAGACUUGUUAGCAAGAGAUGGUACAACAUAAUCCGUAACCCUAACUUCGUAAAAGCGCACCUUCGCAACAAUCCAUCGACCGUCGGACUUCUCAUCCAGAGUUACGAUGUGCCCGGGGAUCCAGCCUUUGUGUCACUGCGGCGAGGAAAAGUUGAGGUAUCUAAAUUGAACUACAAUUUCCCUCAAACAAUUUGGAGCAGCUGUAAUGGUUUGAUACUAGAAUUGGAUCUCAAAACACAAAAGGGUGUUUACAUUUUAAACCCCGAAACGAACUUUCGGUUUGAUCUCCCUCGAGUUAUUUGUGAACCGGACGAGCAUCUUGAGUAUUGUAUAGCAUAUUCCGCAGCUUCCAAGGAGUACAAAGUGGUCCACACGUCUUAUUAUACAAAGUACUAUGGUAUUCCCAAGCUACGAUACUGUGCUAUACUGACUGUCGGAGUCGACAAGUCUUGGAUGCACGUCGGUACACAACACUUAUCUGCCACAGCUAGAAAUCUUCUCACCGGUUUUCCGUUGGCUACCGAAGGUUUUAUUCAUUGGACUUCCAACGAGAGGCUACACACUCAUGUUCUGACUAUGAACGUAGAGACUGAAGUUAUUACAGAGAAUGUUGUUCCUCAGGGUUACGGAGAAAGCUUCGGGUAUUAUCUGCCGAUGGGGAGUUGUCUAACUUUGUUCAUUGAGCGCAGUGAAUUUUCUUUCGAGAUAUUGAAGAUGAAAUCAGAAACGGGAGAAUGGACUAAGUUGCCCAACGUUGACUUGGAAGGUCGAAGAAGCAGAAUCGAACAGUUUGUCAGUGAAUGUUGUGGGUCCCGCCAAGACGAACCUAGAUAUCUUAUACUCGAACCAGGUGGUUGGUUAGAUGAAGAGGUGUUGGUGUUGCAUGUUUCUCCAACUAGGGUUUUCGUUGUCUACAAUGUUCGUACGCAGGAAAUCGACUUCUUCAAGUUUGAUUAUGAUUCUGGUGGUUACGGAUUUAACGUUCUUAGAAAAAAAUUAUGAUUCUUGUUAUCGCAGGUUUUGAUAGAUCGUACUGCAACUAAUAGUAUCAUAAUGGGUCGGUUGUGUUAUUUCAAAAGGUUCCCCGGGGACUUUUUGCUAAUUUAUUUAACACAAUGGGUUUUCCACUAUUUCGACUAUUUUGAGAUUAACGCAUUGGUAAUUUUUGCAGUUUACUCUAAUAAAAAAAUGUGCCCUAGUUAUACACUAUUGACUAGCUCCAAUAUCAGAAGGAUUUGAAUAUCGAUCAAGAUACUAAUUGCAUUGAUAUAUGUUAUAUACUUAUCUUUCCGGUUAAUUGAGUUGGAUAACUUGGGAGUCAAGCAAGAGAGUUGACUGAGAAUGCUGAGUUGAUUCACUCGAGCUUCACGUUCACCGAAAGGAGAACGCGAGUAAUGUGUUCGUCUUUCCUACAAAAUAUGAGAUUUUGAUAUCUGUUCUAAUUUUAAUAUCCAUGAAUAAAUUCAAAAACUUUGAUUUUGUUUUCUUUUUUUUCUCAAAAAAAGUUACAUGUAUAAUAUCGACUCGAUAUUAUCAUGUGUUUCAUAGUAUUGGUGAAUAAUAUAUACUCCCUCCUUCUCCAACAAUUAAUUGAUGUUUAAGGAUUUCUCACACAUAUUAAGAAAUUCAUUAAUUGGUCUUUGAUCUGAUAGUGAAGUUCAGGAUCGCCCUUUUAUCAACGAAGGGGAAAUUUAAAACGUGAAAUAAAAGGGGAAACAAAUUAUUGGCUAAAACGACGAUUAAUUGAGGAAGGAGGGAGUAAUUAUUGGUUUGAAUUACGUGUGCUUCAAACCGCCGCCGGCUCGCCACCAACGAAGGGAUCCCAAUCUGGAAAUCUCUCCGACUCAGAAGAAAAAGGAAGAAGAAGGUAAUUCAGAUAUGUACUGUCUCUUUCAUAUUUCUUUUUUCUUGUAAAUUCCGGGCAAGAAUUACUCGUAAACCCUAAUCAACUUUUGAUUGUAGGUUUUGCCUCCCAAAUUAACAUACUUGUCAAGAAAACUUCUUCGACGCUACUAAUUAGCAAAAUCUUGAACGUUCCGAUUCCACCGGAUGAAAAGGCGAAAAUAAAUUUUGCUAAAGCUCAUAUCACUAGCGGAGCCAGAAUUUAAAGUCUGUGGGGCCGAAUGCAUUAAAAUUUUAUGAAGGGGGCGUUAAUGCUAUUAUACACAAUUUUUUUCUUUUCAAAUUUCAAUAUAAAAUAAUAGGGAUUUUGAGAAACAAUUCCCUAUGCAACUAAAUUUGAAGUUUCCUUCAGAACCGCCACCACCGCCACGGUCACCACCGUAACCGCCUCCACCACGGCCGCCGCCAUAACGACCUCCCUGACGACCCCCAUAUCCACAUGCAGUGUGCUUCGUAACACUUCGUAAAAAAAACAUAGAGGAGUUCUUGCUAAUUUUUUUAAUACGAGGCUUUUUCGGCCAUUCACAAUUAUACAGGGAGUUUUGUGCAAUUAGCUCUAAAAUUAAACAGAUAAUUUUGUGAAUUAGUAAAAACAGUCCGACUUGUAUGUUUAAAAGGGGUGAACAAGAAAAUGGUUAAUCGGCAAUAGAAAUAAAAUAUAGUUAUGCAUGAACCUUAGAAAUGUCGAUUUCAAUGCCUAUAUUUUCAUGUGCAGAUGAGUGAGCGCAAAUAUAAUUCCAUGAAAACGGAAAAGAAAGCCGUUAAUGAAUAUAGAGUCUCUCCUAGAGGAAUUGUUGUUCGACAUUCUUCUAGAACUCCCGUCCGUAGAUAUUAACAACGGGGCAAGACUUGUUUGCAAGAAGUGGUGCGAUAUGGUUCGUAGCCCAAAGUAUGUACAUGCACAUUUUCACAAUUCGACACAUGGCCUUGUCGUCCUGAGUAUUUACGAGAGAAUGCAUCCGAUUUUUUUGUCAUUUCAGAAAGACCGAGUCGAAUCAUCCGAUUUCAGUUACAAUUCAAAUGCUUACUGCAGGCUAGUUGCAAUGGUUUGGUAGUGGAGACCGGUACUAUAAACAUCCACACUCUUCACAUCGCAAAUCCUGCCAUAAACCAACGCGUUGCUCUGCCUCCAAUUUCUGUUGGACAAUCGAUAACCGAGUGUUUUUGUGGUAUAGCAUAUGCUGCAGCUUCCAUGGAGUAUAAAGUGGUUUGCACAUCCGAUUGCAUUUAUACGCCUAACGGGAAAGAAUGUGCUAUAUUGACUAUCGGAGUUGACAAAUCUUGGAGGCAUGUUCGGACAAAACAUUUAUCUCGUAAACAAUAGGCGACUUGAACGAUUUGAAAUUUGAAUAUCAAGAAAAUAAAAUGAAAUAACUUGUAAUUUUAAUAAAAAUAUGUCAUCUGACAUUUUUUUGUCAACAUGCUUCUAUGUGGCCCUGUCUAUACUAUGCUAUGCCGGGUGAAAUACCGGUAGAUGUUUACUUGGAGAAACAAUAAAAACAAAAUAAAAACGCUUCCGAACGUUGCUUAAAUGUGUCGCCUUGUUUAUAAAAAGGACAAAAUGCAACCCCCCUAAAUUUCCUAUUUUCGCACUCUCCUCCACCAAAAAACAAAAUUUCAAAAAAAGGAUACUCCCCCUCGAAAUAUUAUUUUGGUUGCACUUUGCCUCAUAAGCCAAUUUUUGGAGGGCAUUGUGCAACAAAAAUAACAUAUAUAUUAAAGGGUUAGCUUGCAAAAAAAUAGUGUUUUUAAGGGGCAAUGUGCAAUAAAAAUAACAUUUAAACGGGCAACAUGCAAUAAAAAUACUCAAUUCCAAUAAAUAAUCAAUCCGAGUUUUGCUAUCGGGGCAACGUGCAACAAGAAUAACAUUUUAAAGGUGACAUUCACUUUUAAAAAUUUUGAGGGGGUAAAGUGAGGAAAUUAGAAAUUUACGGGGGUGAUGUGCAAUUUUCCCUUAAAACGUGCCUCAAUUUCUGUGUCGAGCUAGACUGUAGUGUGCAGAAACUCGACACAGAAGAACAACUGAAGAAGAAUUACAUUUUCUUUUAAUCCGAAUCUGAAGUAAACUCCGAGGUAAUUAAUUUCUCUUUUGAUAUUGUGUUUUCUUCUUGUUAAUUUUGAGGCAAGAAUUACUCGCAAACCCUAAUUGCAUUUUGAUUUCCCCAAUUUGAUGCCCUAAAUUAGCUAAUUGCUCGAACUUUGUGUUUAUUCUUCAAUUGAUUUUAGGUUAGAAUGAGAGAAUGAAUGGCUGAUCGAAAAAUUGAAAUAGUUAGCCCUAGAUUUAAGAGGCAGAGUCCCAUUACUAAGAAUUUGAUUUUCCCUAAUUGCAUUUUGAUUUCCCCAAUUUGAUGCCCUAAAUUAGCUAAUUGCUCGAAUUUUCCCAAUUAAUUUGCCCAUAAUAUGUAUUCCAUCUUGUCCAGAUGGUUGGGAGUAAAUCGAAUUGCGUAUACGUAAACGGCAGUAAUCGCCCUUACUAUCACAGGAGAUGUAAAGGGAAGAUCAGUUCGACAAAUAUCGAGUCUCUUCCCGACGAAUUGGUUUUCGACAUUCUUCUACAUCUCCAGUCCGAAGAUAUUCACAGAGGGGCAAGACUCGUUUGCAAGAAAUGGUACAACACGGUCCGAACCCGUAAUUUCAGAUGCGCGCGCCUUCGCAAUUCAACAGUUGGACUUCUGAUUCAUAGUUCGGGCGACGAGCGUCCAAUUUUUCUGACACUGGAAAAAGGCCGAGUUGAGAUGUCGAAGCUGAGUUACAAGAUUCCCGGGAGAGUUUGGACUAGUUGCAACGGUUUGAUACUCGACUAUGAGGUUAUGAGAGACGGUAUAUAUCUUUUCACUUUAAAUCCCGCUACGAAGCGUUGCUUUGAUCUCCCCCCGUUUAUUAGUCGAUCUGAUUCAAGCUACGAUUAUUCCGGUAUAGCGUAUGCUGCGGCUUCGAUGGAGUAUAAAGUGGCUCAGACGUUUAGUUCUAGGCUUAGGUAUCCGUUUGUACGAGGCUGCGCUAUAUUGACCGUCGGAGUUGAUAAGUUUUGGAGGCAUGUCGAUACCGAAAACUUAUCCCCGAUCGGUAGAGAGAUUCUCCGAGGUAUUCCAUUGACUACUGAAGGUUAUUUUCAUUGGACUCACAGAGAAGGCACUCGGGUUUUGACUUUGAACGUAGAGACUGAAAUUAUUACAGAGACUCUUGUCCCGAAUGGGUAUGGAAAAAAAACGAAGUAUUAUUUGUCGACUGGGAGGUCUCUAACUUUGCUCAUUGCAUGCAGUGGAUUUUCGUGGGAGGUUCUGAAGAUGAAAUCCGAAACGGGAGAAUGGACGAAGUUGACCAAGGUUGACUUGAAAGCUCGAAAGUGCGAAUUCGAACAGUUUGUUAGGGAAUGUUGUGGGCCCGUAGUACAACCUAGUUCUCUUGUCAUCAAACCGGUUGGUUGGUUAGAUGAAGAGGUUUUGGUGUUGAAUGCUUUCCCAACUUUGGUUUGUGUUCUCUACAAAGUACGUGCGCAAGAAAUUGAGUUCGUUGAGUUAGAUUUUGACGACGACGAUCUCAACUUUCAAGUUCAUAGAAUCAGAAUGUGAUUCUUUUGAGUAGUUUCAACUUGUAUUUGGUUGUAUUAAAGCAACGUAAAUUUACUUGCACUUGAAAACUAAUGUUGUAUGUAUAAUCAAAAGAAAUUCAUGCUUCAAAUCAUCAAAAAAAAAAAAAUCAAAUAAAACACAAGCUUUCUUAGUACAUAAAAACAAAAGUUCUAUCUAAUUUAUUUAUCUAAUAAUAUAUCAUGAUAAUAAUAUUGGUGUACCGUUACUCUACCAAACAAAAUUGACCAAACAAAAUCGGUAUGGUACGAUAGGGCACUAUUACCGUCCGAUAAAAACUUUUUUGGUAGGAAAUCGGUUGGUGGUGCAUUUUAGAAAGAUAAUUAUUUGGGAAAAUUACGGCCACCCCCUGAUUUAAGGCCAAAUUACGAAAAAAACCAUCAGGUUUGGGUAAUUACAGGCACCCCUCAACUAUGUAUUGACUUACGAAAAACCCCCUAAGGUAAAUUUAGGGAUGUUAAUUGGGUAAUACCGAACCGAAAUUUCGGUACGCCAAUAUUUCAUACCGUUUACCGAACUGAAUUUACGAUUUGGUCCGGUAAAUAACUGAAUUACAUAAAUUAUAUUGAAAAUAUUUAAAAGAAUGAUGGGCUGUAAUUACCCAAAUAAAAGGGUUUUUUUCGUAAUUNNNNNNNNNNNNNNNNNNNNNNNNNNNNNNNNNNNNNNNNNNNNNNNNNNNNNNNNNNNNNNNNNNNNNNNNNNNNNNNNNNNNNNNNNNNNNNNNNNNNGUGCGUCUUCUGCUGCCACGUGUCUCUUUUUGAUAUUUUAUAAUAGAUUCCCCGCUAGGGUUUACCUUUAGGGGUUUAAGAAAAAUAAAAAAAAAGAUCACGUGGCAGCAGAAGACCCACCCGGUCUUUUUCACCGGGUGUAGCAUCGAAGGAACCGGCAAUCGGAGCAUCGUUCCGAUUUUGAUGAAAACUAAAGAAGGAAACUCGAAGGUAUCUUCUGAUUUAUUAUCUUCAUGUGGUGAACAUGUUCUUCGUCCUUUAUAUAAUCCCACUUGUUAAUUAAGCAGUUAAUAAUAUAUAUAUAACUAAAUAUUCAAUUAUUGAUUAUGUGAAAGUGAUAAAGAAUUCGAACCCCUCGAUUAUACAAGUGCACGGUUUUAUAAAAUUGCUGAUCGGAAUAUUGAAAAUUGUUUGUCUCUUGGAAUUGUAUUCCAUGUGCAGAUGAGUGGGUGCAAAAGAAACCAUGCAUGCGUGGUGAAUUACCGUAAUCGCCCUUACUAUUCGAGGAAAUGUAAAUCGAGAACAAACAUAGAGUCUCUUCCAGACGAACUGGUGUUCGACAUUCUACUCCGUCUCUCGCCCAAAGACAUUCACGAGGGGGCGAGGCGCGUUUGCAAGAAGUGGUACGACAUGGUCCACACGCGCGAUUUCAAAUGCGAAAAAACCUUCCGCCGUUCGACUUCCGGGCUCCUCAUCCAGAAAUCCAACCACGAAUAUCCGUUUUUUGUGGCCAUGCGUAAAGGCCGACUCGAGAUAUCUAAAUUGAAAUACAAGUUCCGAAUCAUAGGAACUGUUUGGAGUAGUUGCAACGGUUUGAUACUCGGCUUCGAUGGCAAGAAGCCGAAUGCUCACGCUCUCUACACUUUAAAUCCAGCAACGAGACGCCGUUUUGUUCUCCCUACAUCUUUUUGUCGGCGGGAAAACAAUUCCUAUAUCAACUACUAUCACUCUUGUAUAGCAUACGCCGAGGCUUCGAUGGAGUAUAAAGUGGUCAAAACGUGUACUUGUUACGACAGGAAUUUGCCGAUACACGUUUGUUCUAUAUUAACUGUCGGAGUCGACAAGUCUUGGAGGCACGUCUCCACCGAGCACUUGUCUUCCGAAGCUAGAGAACUUCUCGAUGAUAUUCCGUGCGCUACCGAAGGUUUCGUUCAUUGGGCUCAUGGAGAAAAAGGCACUCGUGUUUGGGGUCGUAGUUUGACUUGUGUUUUGACUUUGAACGUAGAGACUGAAGUUAUUACAGAGACUCGUGUUCCUGAAGGUUGUUAUGGAUCGAAAACAGUGAGCUACUUUUUGCCGAGGGGGAGAUAUCUGACUUUUCUCGUUGAGUGCAGCGAGUUUUCGUGGGAAUUUUGGGAGAUGGAAGCAGAAACGGGAGAGUGGACGAAGAUGCCCAAUAUUGACUUGGAAGCUCGUACGUGCGAAUUUGAAGAGUCGGUCCGUAAAUAUAAAUAUAGUAAUGUUGACCCGAGACCGGGCGGUUGGUUAAAUCAAGAGGUGUUGGUUUUGCAUAUUUCUCCGUCUCCGGUUUGCGUUGUCUACAAUGUCCGUACGCAAGAAAUUGACUCGUUUGAGUUCGACUAUGCUAAUCAAUAUCUCGUUUUUAAUGCUCAUUUAAACAGACCUUGAUUCUGGUUAUGGCAGCUGUUAAAGUUCAUGGAAAUAGCUUAGCAUUAUGGUUAGGUGAGCUUAGCUUUUUAACAGGUAUGGCUGCGUAUUCGACUAGAGAACAAAAUACACUUCACGGCUUAUAAAUUUUCAAUUUUUGCACUUUCCCCCCUAAAAAAUCAAAAAAGAGAUAACUGCCUGGAAUUAUUGUUUUAGUUGCAUUUUGCCCCAAAAGCCAAUUUUCGAUGUGCAUCGUGCAAUAAAAAUAAGAUUUUAAAGGGGCAAUGUGUAGGAAAAUAAUACAUUUUCAAGGGAAAAUUACGGCCAACCUCUUGAGGUAUGGCCAAAUUAGAAAAAAAAACCCUCUUGUUUGGGUAAGUACAGUCAUCCCCUCUUUUUAAAUAUUUUUACAUAAAAUUUAUGUAAUUUGAUUAUUUACCGAACCAAAUCGUAUAUUCAGUUCGGUAAACGGUAUGAAAUGUUGGCGUACCGAAAUUUUGGUUCGGUUUUACCGAUUUAACAUCCCUAAAUUUACCCUCUAUAAAUUUCUAAUUUUCACACUUUUCCCCCAUUAAAAUUUUUAAAAGUGAAUACCCCCUUCGAAAUAUUAUUCUUGUUGCACAUUGCCGCGAUAGCAACAUUUCAAUGGAUAAUUGAUCGGAAUUGAGUAUUUUUGUUGCAUGUUGGCCCUAUAAAUGUUAUUUUCAUUACACGUUGUCCCUUCAAAACAUUAUUUUUUUGCACAUUGUCCCUUUAAAUUGUUUUUGUUAUUUUCGUUACACAACGCGCUCCAAAAAAAUAGCUUAUGGGACAAAGUGCAAUCAAUAUAAUAUUUUGAAGGGGAAAUGUCCAUUUUUUUAGGGGGAAAAGUGGGAAAACAGAAAUUUAUAGGGGAGCAAAGUGCAAUUUGCCCUUAAUUAAAACAUGGAAAAUUUUAAAAUUGUGAUCAAUUUAUGUGCCGGAAAUUGAAUUAUAAAAAACUUAAUUGUGCGGCUUUGUGGUUAAAACUUAAAACAUCAAUUAACAAUCCAAUUUCUAUUCUUCAAAACUCACAUAAAAGAGCAUUAUAUAACUAAUCGGGAGCCGUCAACAAUCUGCCCCCAACGCCGUCCAAUCGCCGCCGCUGUCGCCGUCGCCGCCGCAGGAAAGGCACGCUAGUAGUCAAUCUGAGCAUCGUUCCGAUUCUGAUGGAAACUAAAGAAGGAAACUCGAAGGUAUUUUCUGAUUUAAUUAUAUUAUUUUUGCUGAACGUGUUUGUUUGAUUUUUCCAAAAUUUAUAAACCAACUAGCUUCGUGUGGUGAACAUGUUCUUCAUCCUUUAUAUAAUCCACUUGCACUUAAUAUUCUCGAUAUAUUAAUAACCUCGCUUACGUAAUAGUUUCCUCCGGACCCGACUCGGGUAAAAACCUACUAAAUUAUUAGUUCUAUAAUUUAUAGCAAUUCCGAUGAAAAAUACUCCAAAAAUUGUAAUUUGGGGCAAAGUGCAACUGCAACAAAAUUUCGUUUGGGGGAGAAUUUCCUUUUUGAAUUUGUAGGGGGGGGAAAGUGCAAAAUUUGAAUUUUUCUAGGGGGAACUUCGUUCCGGACCCGAUGGAAACUAAAGAAGGAAACUCGAAGGUAUAUAUAUCAUGUUAUUUAUCAUCUGAAAAGAUGAGUCAAAUACUGAGAACUUGUAUAUCAUCACGUGCAGAUGAUAUGUGGGGUCAAACGCAGUCGUGUAUAUGUGGAUCGCCAUAGUCGUUCGAGUAGAAGAUGUGAAAGGAAGAGUAUUUUGACAAAUAUAGAUUCUCUCCCGGACGACUUGUUGUUCGAGAUUCUUCUACAACUCCCGGCCGAAGACAUUCACAAAGGGGCAAGACUUGUUUGCAGCAAGUGGUACAAUAUGGUCCGAACCCGUAGUUUCAGAUACGAACACAUCCACCUUUCGACCACCGGACUUCUCGUACAUCAAUCUGAACGCGGCGAUAGAUUCUUCGUGGCAAUGCGUGAAGGCCGAGUCGAAAUUUCCAAGAUGAGUUACGGUUUCAAAGGGAGUGUUUCAGCUGGUUCAGGUUGCAGCGGUUUGAUUCUGGAAGUUGAUGUCGGGAAAAAAAGUAAACGGGUUUGCGCUGUAAAUCCUGCAACCGGGCGUCGUUUGGCUCUCCCUCCGUUUGUUUAUCAUAACUGGUCGGAAAACUACGAUUGUUUUGGUGUGGCAUACGUUGCUGCUUCAGUGGAGUAUAAAGCGGUUUGUACGUACUACGAUAAUUAUGUACAGCGGCGCGGUAUAUUGAUAUUGACCGUUGGAGUUGACAAGUCUUGGAGGCAUAUCGACGUCGAGCACUUAUCUCCCACAUCUAGGAAACUUCUCGAUUGUAAUCCGUUGACUACGGAAGGUUUCAUUCAUUGGACUCAUAAACACGGCACUCGUGUUUUUACUUUGGACGUCGUGACUGAAGUUAUUACCGAGACGCCUUUACCUCAAGGUUGUGGAGAAGGAUUGAACUGUUAUUUGUCAACGGGAACUCUUAUAACGUUAAUCGUUAAAUGCCGUGCAUUUUCAUGGGAAUUGUGGAAUUUGAAACCAGAAACGGGAGAAUGGACGAAGCAACCGAAUAUUGACUUGGAUCCUCAUGAGGGCAUAUUGGGAUGUUUGUUCUUUAGAUCUAUCAAACUAGGGGGUUGGCUAAAUCAAGAAGUAUUGGUCUUGCACGUUUCUCGAACUCGGUUUUGCGUUGUCUACAAUGUCCGUACGCGAGAGCUUGACCUCCUCGACUUGCAUUAUGCUUGUCAUUCUAUCAUAUGUAAUGUUUUUAAAAUCACCUUAUGAUUCUGGUUAUCAGAAGUUUAUAAUUCAUAGAAACAAAUUGGUGUUGCAUAUUUCUCCGACUCCGGAGUUAGAUUAUGCUUCCGAAUAUCACAGCUUUAAAGCUCGUAGAAACAUUCAAGGGCUGUUGCUUGGAAUUUUCUUUCGAGGUUUUCAUGAGACUGCAGCUUAGUAAUGUAUUCUGACUUUGCAGCUUAGUAAUAUAAACAUAUACGAAAACCCCCUUAUUUGUCCAUAAUUACAUCCACCCUGUAAUUUGUUGAUUUCUUACAUCAAUACCCUUUUAUAGAGGAUGGACGUAGAAAUUUACAAAGUGCAAGGGACUGGAUCCGGAUUUAUUUGAUGUUACAUUUGGUGAAACACAUUAAUUUUUAAUUGUUGAUCCACAUACAAUCACACGCACACACAUGUGUAUGUUUGAUUAGUGAGUGAUUAUUUAACUCCAUCAAUGAUUAAAAAUAUCUUUAUUUGAUGUUACAUUUGGUGAAACACAUUAAUUUUUAAUUGUUGAUCCGCACACAAUCACACGCACACGCAUGUGUAUGUUUGAUUAGUGAGUGAUUAUUUAACUCCAUCAGUGAUUAAAAAUAUACUUAUGUAAAUGACCUGGUGUAACAUCUAAUAAUCACUCCGAUCUAAUAAUCACUCCGGGUGUAAUGUCAAAUCGACCAAUAAUAACUAAUGAAAGGAAAAAUGAAAUAAGUUGAAAAUUAAAAAUACCAAUGAAGAGGUUCCUCAUCACCUAAUAAAGUUUUGGGUAAAUUACAACCAUCCCCGAGUUAUGGUCAAAUUACGAUAAAAAAACCCUCAUGUUUAAAUAAUUGCAACUAUCCCUCAAUUAGGAAUUUUCUUAAACGCACACCUUAUGGUGUCAAAUCCGACAUACUCUUCUAGAUUUCGUGGAAUGUUAUCUAGUUUGUACUCGUUUUGUGCAAAAAUGUAGUUUCUGGUGCACCACAAUCUGAUAUAUACAAGCCAAAAAGCACAUCUUAUGAUCGUCUUGCUUCAAAAUAUGGAGCUUGAAUGGGAUAAAACGGAUAUAAAAUUGAGAAUAUUCCAUAUAAUCUAGAAGAUUCCACUAAAUUUGACAUAGCAAAUGUUGACGUGUAAGAAAAUUUAUAGCUGCGGGGUGAUUGUAAUUACCCAAAUAAUAGGAUUUUUUUUUCGUAAUUUGACCAUGUCUCAUGGGUGGUUGUAAUUUACUCGUAAGUUUUAUAUAUCUCUCAAAAAUAAAAGUUUUAUAUAAAUUGAAUAAAAAUUUACUAAUUUUAUAAAUUUGAAAUAAAUUGAUACUUUUGAAGUCCAUAACGAAAGCCCAAUACAUAGUUGAAUUAUUAAGCCCAAUCUCUGUCUGGGUUCUAAGGCAAUCAGCACUUGUAUAUAAGUCAGAAAGAAAACCAUCAGAAAACAUUUUUUAAUUUGUCACUUGGAUCAGUCCGCCCGCCGCCACCGCCACCGCCGCCGCCGCCGCCGCCGCGUACGAUCUCAGGGAUGGCCCGCUGAUGGUGGAUGUCAGUGCAUGCUUCAAUUGAGUUCAGUCAGCCGCCGCCGCCCUCCGCCCGUGAGUGAUUAAUCCCAAUUUGAACAUCAUUGCGACUCUGAUAAGAAAUUGAGAAGGAAAUUCCGAGGUAACAUCGUACAUUCAUGAUUUUUUAUCUUUUCUUUGAGAAUUUCAGACAAGAAUUACUCGUAAAACAUGUUUUGCCUUCCGAUCUAAAACGAUUUCAGAGCAAUUUUUUCAUGCCACCGGAAAACAUAAAGUUUUGAGCUUUCUGAUUACACACGAAGAACAGUUGUAUCCGUGAUGAAUGUAGAUAUAAAUUUUGCUAAGCGUCGAAUUUUUUUUUGUGUGUUAUUUUUCUGCAAUGAUCACAUAUAAAUUUGGGUAAAUUACGAAAACCCCUGAACUUGGGCUAAAUAAUGAAAAACAACCCCACUUAUCCGUAAUAACCAAAAU